AUAGUUUGCUUUCCAGUGUAGUUAUUUUUCCGCCUAGAUCUAUCUGAGUAUUUGCUCCGUCGAGUUUCAGGGGAGCCAUGUUGCGGUAGGGUUGCACCUGAGCCAUCGUGCGGCCGCCGGAGACUUGUCAAAGCUUUAGGUUUAGGAUAGGUUUUUGUGGAGGUGGUGGUGACAGAUGUGAUGGCGGUGGCUCCAUUUAUAGACUCGGAAACGAUGCUUAUGAUGAUGAUGGAAAAUGCCCUUCAACCUUCUUGGAGCUAGAGGAAUAGGAAUCUAGGGUUUCUGGCAGAGGAAGACAUCUCUGAAAAUUGACGUUGAUAUUAUCCAUUUUGUUUGUAGGCGUAGGAGAUAAGGAAAAAAAAAUUAAAUUAAAAUUUCUAAAUAGUUCGGAAAAAAAAAAUGUUAACUAACCGAUUUAACUUUAAUUUUUAAAACCUGAUAGUAGAAAAUAGAAUAAUAAUAACUUAUUAUAAAUGUUUCCUUCUCAAAAAUAUUUCUUUUUAAGACAAAAAUUUGAAAUGGAAAGUUUUUAUUUUACCUACCAAUUAACAUCAAAUAAUCACCAAAAUUGGAAUCACUAAUAACAUUAGAAUUAUAGCAAAACCAUUAAAUAUUUCUUUUAAUUUUAUUUUAAAAUAAAAUUAAAAUAUUAAAUACAUUUAGUAAUUGAAUAAAUAUUUAUUUUCUACUUUAAAAUGGAAAAUAUAAAAUAAUAUUUUGUACCUAAUUAUUAUCCUUUUGGAAGAAAUGAGGGAAUACAUUGUUAACAUUUGGACUAACAAUGGUGGGACUCCAAGAUAUUCUAUCAUAUGAAGGAAUAAAUAGAAAAAUUAUCGAUUUAGAAUCUUACAUCUUUGUCUUUCUUUUUCAUGAUUGACAUUAUUGAACGAUAUAAUAAAUAGAAAAAUUAUCGGUUUAGAAUCUUAUAUCUUAGCCUUUUCUUUUUAGGAUUGACAUUAUUGAACGAUAGAAUCAUUUGAUCAUGAUAGAUGUUGAAUAGUGGAAUCAAUUAUCCAUUUUUAUUCUCUUUAUGUGGGAGACAUGGUCAAUUAUCAAUUUUUGUUUUUAUACUUAUGUAAAGGUUAUUUUUUAUUUUAAAAGGUAUUAAAAGAAAGGAAUGAGUUUGAAGUAGCAUAUAAAAAUAAUUUAUUAAUUUUAAUUUUUUUUAUUAUUAUUAUUUUUCUUUUCAUUUUUCCUCAAAUUGUUUGAAAACUAAAUAUAGCUUUAAGAAUUAUUAGUUCCUAAUCCCAUUAAAUUUUUAUAUUUUUUAUUAAUUAAUUUAGAAUAAUAGAGUUUUUUUUCCAAUUAAUGUAAAACACUUGAAUCAAUUCUUCUUAACUUGCUAUAAUGUGGAGAAGGUCAAAUUAUGGAGUAAAUACCCUUCGAAGAGGCAUUGAUACCACCCUUCAUAUAAUAGAAUUCCCUUGUCCCCUUACCCUGAUCAUUUUGUACUUUGGAGCAUUCCUGGGGCAUUUUUAUUUUUUAAUGCAUUUGAUUUUAUUUAUCAAAAAAAAAAAAAUGGAGUUCCUUUGUCAUCUUAAAUUGUUCCACCCUCAUGAUCUAAUUCGUAUGCUUUUCGAAACAGUAAGAACUCCCUAAUGCAAUUUUUUUUUAUAUGCAUCAUAAUUCGUUUUUAAGUAACUCUAAACCUCCAAAUUUGAUAUGUAAUCCUUUUUUAUUUAGAGCGCAUUUGGUAGUUUUUUUUCUUCAAAAAUAAUUUUUAAAAGUGUUUUUAGGAGAAUCAUUUAUCACUUUUUAUCUUAAAAGUGUGAUUUUUGAAUUUUUAAAAAAUGUUUUUAAAAUUUUAUUAAAUAUUUUAAUUAUUUUUCUUCAUAAAUAGUUUUGAGGUUAAAAAUACUGUGAAAUAGACUCUUAUUGGAAUUUAUUUUUGUUCAAUCAUGUACUAUCAAAAUUUUCUAUUAAUUUUAUCUAUAUAUUUUUGUUAGUUUAUAGUCCUUCAUCAUAUAUAUAUAUAUAUAUAUAUGAAGAGAACUUGAUAAAUUUGUCUUAAUUAACAUCAUUUUCUUACUUUGGAUAAUAUAUUACAACAAUGACCCUCAGUUGGUUUGAUUGGUUGCACCAAGUGGCUCAAGUGGUGGCUUGAUGUCAGCCCCUUAGAGCCUUGACUUAACCAUGGAGGAAUAGGCCUCAUGGGUAGGCCUUGCACCCAUGAGAGCCUAGGAUGAAAGCAGGGAAAUCCUGGAGGUUUGGUGGUUCAAACUCCAGGAGCCAUGUGAGAAGGUCGCGGGCGAGCCAGACACAUGCCUCGCGCGCACCAUGGGCAAGUCAGAUGUGCACCGCGGGCGAGCCAGACGCGCACCGCAGGCGAUCCAGACGCGCAUCGCAGGCGAGCCAGACGCGCACCGCACGCGCACCACGGGUGAGCCAAACAGGCACCGUGGGCAAGCCAGACACACACCGUGGGCGAGCCAGACAUGCACCGCAUGCGCACCAGAUGGGGAUCGCGUGCACACCUGACUUAGGUGGUGUAAAUGAAGGCUGAGGGACUUGGAAUUUUAAUUUAUAAUUAAAAUUAUUAUUCCAUUAUGUCUCCUCAGAUAUAUUGAUGUCUCCUCAAGAAACAAUGAAAACGGCAUGUAUUGCUCUUUAAGGGGGAGUAGGUGACUCAAAGAAGGGAGCCACCAAGAGAAGCCUUGACCGCACCAAGGGGGCACCAUGGCACGGCCUUGGGCAUGCCUAAGACACACGACACGACUCGAGCACACACACAUGGGCUCCACGACAUGUGUGGUGUGCACCUCGUGGCCGCAACGACACGGGGCAUGAUGUGGCCUACCCCCUCCUCGCACAGGCACGAGGGCGCUUAAGCCUUGUGCGGUGAGCCAGCUGAUGAAACCAUGGGUGCAAUGCCAUGGUCUGAUGGCUCCAAUAGAUGACUCGCACCAAGUUGCCUACGCACAAUACAGGGGCGCCAUGUCCUGUGCACCAAGAAGGAUUGGCCAUAGGUGCAAUGCCAUGGCUCGUUGUUGGGAAGCUGGGAAGCAAGCAACAAGCCCAAGCCAUGGGCACCUAGACAUGGCACGGGCUCACACAUCAGUGUGGGGAAGGCACACUGAUGCACCAGAUGCUUGGUCAGAUGGCUGAGGCAUGCUGCCUGACUCAGAGGGUCUUGAUCAAAGACAUGCUGAUGGGCACCCGAUCACAAGAGGCACCUUACGGGGGAGGGGUCGGCUUGUUAGGGGGACUCACUAGCAGCUUAACGAGCAGGACCUGAGGAGAUGACAGUGCAACUAGCUAGUGGCAGCUAGCUCAGUGACCAAGUCAAGUCGUCAUUUGACCUGCAGUUGGCUGAGGAAUGAUGGCUGGUGCAAGUGGGUGGCAGGAGCAGACCACUAUCUGGGUGGUGGGUGGUUUUGCAAGGCAGUUGAGGGCGGUUCAGGCCAGUUGCAUAAACCACCUAGUUGGCUCCAAGAUUUGAAUUAGGAAAUUCAAAUUUGUAAUUACAACUUGAGUCUUUUAAAAGGGCUCCUGCAGCCUUGAAACAGAGACAGAGUUUGGGGAAAAGGUUCCUUCUCGUAUGCCUUGGGUGAGAGCAUUGUACUCUAGUUCAGGAAGCAAUUUUGUCUUGUAAGAGUGAUUAAUACAAGUUGGGAAAGGAUUCCCGUAACCUCGUGUGUCCAUGUUGCUUUGUUAUUUCUGUGUUCUACUCUGUUCUUCUAAACGCUGGGAAGGGAAGGUUGACUAAGGAAGGGUCCUUAGCACCGCACACUCGUGAAAAAUUAAGUGUGAUAAUCAGGGGUGUGACACUUGACCAAUUGAAGCUUUACCUCAACUGAUUACCAUUCUUUGGAGCACCUCUCAAGGCCAUCUCAAUUGGUCGCACCUAUUAGUUGAUGCAUCCCCUCAAUUCUGAAAAAAUAUGUAGUAUUGGUUUUUCCGACUUGGGAUGAAGGAAAAACAACCGACUAUAUACCUCCAACAAAAUUUGAAAAACUUUUAAGAUGAUCUUGAAGAAUUUAAGAUUAGGUUUUUCAUUCAAAAAAAAUUUCAUCCCAAUUUAUAAAAAUUGUAGUGGAUGAGAAUGACAAUGAAUCGCAAUAUACUACAUGAAAAAGGGGGAUCAAAAUCUUAACAAGAGAGUAAAAUUUAGUUUUUCUUACUAAUAAACUUUUGUUUAUAUUUUCUUUCUAAAACACGAUCUCAUACUCUAGUAUUAAAAAAUGGAAUGAAUUUUUCAUUCCCCCUUCUCUUCCAUAUUCCAAACAUGUCGUUGGUUAAAUGAAAAGGAUAUUUUAUUUUAUGAUUCUUAUCAUAAUAGACUCAUAAAGGAAAAAUAGCAUGUUGUAUUGAUUUAAAUAUUUUUAAAUUUUUUAUUAAGAUAAGUAACCUUUGUUUUUUAACAACCUGUUAAUUUUAAAUUUUGUAGAUUUUGCACGUGAUUAAUCUCUUUCAAAGCUUUAAAUUCACUUUUAUAGGGGGGAUAUUGAAGUUAGACUAUUCUAAUAACUUUAUAAAUUUUUUAUGAUUUUUGACUUAUUAGUUUAAUAAUUCAAUAUAAAUAAUUAAUAUUUUAAGACUCCCUAACUGUAUAUAGUUUUAUAAUGUACAGAAUGAAUUAACUUUUUGAUCAAUGUAUAGGAUUUGAAGACUCAAUAAUUAUUUCUGAUUUGAUAGCACCCUUAAUGGAUUGAUUUUUUGGUAGGUGCAUAGAAACAUAGUCUAUGGAACAAAAUUAAAACUUAGAGAUUGAUACAGAUUUAUUUAUUUAUUUAUUUAUUUAUUUAAAAAGCUGAUAUUACAGCAUCCAGGCCUCGUCAAUCUCCUUAUACCAUAGGUGGAGUUAUUUUUAACAUAAAUUAAGGAGUAGUUUAUUUAUUUAUGGUAAACGAGGCCUAAGAUGGGUGCCGGCUCUCACACGUUAAGCGCGCGGCUCUAUUUCCGGGCUCAGAGGAAUGAAGUACAAGAGCACCAGAGGAAGCUUCAUCUGGGUCAAAUCCGAAGGAAGAUUCAUCUUCUUCCAAUCCAGAGGACAAUCGUACUUCUCCCAAACCCAUGCCUCGUAGGUGCCCGGGACGCCGUUGUCUGUGGCUACAAGAUGGAUUUUGUGAAGGAUGCCGAGUUUUCCGAGGAGGCGCUGAUACCAUCCUUCAUACGUGUUAACGAACUCCAGGCUGGAGCGCGUUCUCACGUUGUGCUCCAUCACGGAGUACGCUCCCAAGAUUUGCAGUUGAAUUACGUUGUGGUUCGGAAUCCAUUUUUGGCUUUGCACUGUGGUUAUGUUUCCGCCUAGAUCUAUCUGAGUAUUUGCUCCGUCGAGUUUCAGGGGAGCCAUGUUGCGGCAGGGUUGCACCUGAGCCAUCGUGCGACCGCCGGAGACUUGUCAAAGCUUUAGGUUUAGGAUAGGUUUUUGUGGAGGUGGUGGUGGCAGAUGUGGUGGCGGUGGCCCCAUUUAUAGACUCGGAAAUGAUGCCCAUGCUGAUGAUGGGAAAUGCCCUUCAACCUUCUUGGAGCUAGAGGAAUAGGAAUCUAGGGUUUCUGGCAGAGGAAGACAUCUCUGAAAAUUGACGUUGAUAUUAUCCAUUUUGCAUUUGUAGGCAUAGGAGAUAAGGAAUAAAUAAAUAAAUUAAAAUUUCUAAAUAGUUCGGAAAAAAAAAAUGUUAACUAACACGAUUUUACUUUAAUUUUUUAACCUUGAUAGUAGAAAAUAGAAUAAUAAUAACUUAUUAUACAUGUUUCCUUCUCAAAAAUAUUUCUUUUUAAGACAAAAUUUUGAAAUGGAAAGUUUUUAUUUUACCAGCCAAUUAACAUCAAAUAAUCACCAAAAUUGGAAUCACUAAUAACAUUAAGAGUAUAGCAAAACCAUUAAAUAUUUCUUUUAAUUUUGUUUUAAAAUAAAAUUAAAAUAUUGAGUACAUUUAGUAAUUGAAUAAAUAUUUAUUUCCUACUUUAAAAUGAAAAAUAUAAAACAAUAUGUGUACCUAAUUAUUAUCCUUUUGGAAGAAAUGAGGGAAUACAUUGUUAAUAUUUGGACUAGGAUCUGUGGGGCUCCAAGAUAUUCUAUCACAUGAAGGAAUAAAUAGAAAAAUUAUCGGUUUAGAAUUUUACAUCUUUGCCUUUCUUUUUCAAGAUUGACAUUAUUGAAUGGCAAAAUCAUUUGUUGGUGAUGGAUGUUGAAUAGUGGAAUCAAUUAUCCAUCUUUAUUCUCUUUAUGUAGGAGACAUGAUCAAUUAUCAAUUUUUUGGUUUUAUACUUAUGUAAAGGUUAUCUUUGAUUUUAAAAGGUAUUAAAAGAAACGAAUGAGUUUAAAGUACCAUAUAAAAAUCAUUUAUUAAUUUUAUUUUUUUUUAUUUUUUUUUUCUUUUCAUUUUUCCUCAAAUUGUUUGAAAACUAAAUAUAGCUUUAAGAAUUAUUAGUUCCCAAUCCCAUUAAAUUUUUAUAUUUUUAUUAAUUAAUUUAGAAUAAUAGAGUUUUUUUUCCAAUUAAUGUAAAACACUUGAAUCAAUUCUUCUUAACUUGCUAUAAUGUGGAGAAGGUUAAAUUAUGGGGUAAAUACCCUUCGAUGAGGCAGUGAUACCACCCUUCAUAUAGUAGAAUUCCCUUGCCCCCAUUACCUUGAUAAUUUACCCUUUAAAGAGGCGUUAAUACUACCCUUCAUAUAAUAGAAUUCCCUUGUCCCCAAUACCCCUCAAUUAUUUUGUACUCCGGGUGUCUUUAUGCCAUUUUUAUUUUUUAAUGCAUUUGGUUUUAUUUAUCAAAUAUAUAUAGAUAGAGAGAGAGAGUUCUAAUCUCAUUAAAUUUUCAUAUUUUUUAUUAAUUAAUAUAGAAGAAUAGAGUUUUUUGUCUUAUUAAUAUAAAACACCCAAAUCAAUUCUUCUCACUUUGCUAUGAUAGGGAGAAGAUUAAAUUAUGGUAUAAAUAGCAUUUGAAGAGGCAUUGAUACCACCUUUCAUUUAAUAGAAUUCCCUUGUCCCUAUUACCCCUCAAUUAUUUUGUACUCAGUGUGUCUUUAUGAUAUUUUUAUUUUUUAAUGCAUUUGGUUUUAUUUAUCAAAUAUAUAUAGAGAGAGAGCUUUAUAUGCAUCAUAAUUCAUUUUUGGGAGAAUCAUUUAUCUAGAAAGUAUUAAGUGAUUUUUGAAUUUUUUUUUUUAAAUGUUUUCUAAAUUUUAUCAAAUAUUUUAUUUUUCUUCAUAAAUAGUUUUUAGGUUAAAAUUUUUUUUUUUAAAAUAUUGUCAAAUACACUCAUAUUGAAAUCUAUCUUUGUUCUUCAAGUAUGAUGAGAAUUUUCUAUUAAUUUUUUCUAUAUGUUUUUGCUAGUUUACAAUCCUUCAUCAUAUAUAUGAAAAGAACUUGAUAAAUUCACCUUAAUUAACAUCAUUUUUCCUGCUUUUGGUAAUAACGGCCCUUUUCAAGUAGCUAAGGUUGUGUUUGGUUUGAAAAAUAUUUUUUAUUGAUUACCAACAUUUUUUUAUUUUUACAAAAUAAAAUUAAAACUAUUAGCUAUAUUCAAUAAUGAGGAAAAAUGUAUUUAUUAUUUUUCAAUAAGGGACUUUUUUUUCCUCAAAAUUUCAUGGGGCUUAAUUUGCUCCCCACCGAACAAUGAUAUUGUUAUUUGGAUGAGAUUCACACGUGUUUAAGUUGGUUUGCAAUUCAAGGAUAUUAAAGUUUAGGAGGUGUUUAAAAAAAUUAAAAUUUAAAUAUUGAAAAAAAAAAAAUCAGUGAUGAAUGAUAAGUGAGUGUUGAACUAAUAGAAGUGAAAGUAUUUGAUAAUAUUUAAGGUUGAAAUAAUAAGGUUACAUUUGGUUAAAAAAAAUUGAUAAAAAAAAAAAAAAUAUAUAUAUAUAUAUAUAUAUAUAUAUAUCUCAUAUCUUAAUAUGAGAUUAGCAUAUCUAUGUAAAAAUGAUAAAUAAAAGCAGAUAGAUAAUAUAUUUCAUGUUUGGUUAAACAUAGGAUAGUAUAAGUGAUGAGAUAAUUUAUUUUAUCCCAUCACUUAUCAAACAUAGGAUAAGAUAUAAUAUCCUCUCUUUUAUCUUAUCUCAUAUUAUUUUCAAACAACUAAAUAUGACCUAAAUGAUUCAUUUUUGUGAGAUUUAAAUUUAACUUUAUAUUUAUCACAUGAAUUUUUAUUUUUUUUUAUGAAAUGAGACUACAAAGUAUAAUUAAUAUAAAUUUGAUUUAAAGAUGAGUUACAAUAAUCUUCAAAACUAAACUUUAUAGCAUCUUUAGGAAAAUUUGACCAUAUUCUAUUCGCUUACCUAUUUGAAAAUUGGAUUUGUUGAAUUUCUUUGAUUAAUGAAAGAUUCAAAUUAAGUUUUGAUGGUUUAAGGAUAAAGAAUAAAAGUAAUUCACAAUGGGUUAUUAGAGAAUCUAAUGGUACUAUAGAAAUAGUUACAAGUAGACAUAUAGGUAAUGUUUCAAUAAUUAUUGCAAAAUAUAUGACUUUAAGAAAUGAUAUGUUAGCUAACAAGAAUAUUGGGUUCUUAAACUUAGAGAUCGAGGGUGACUAAGAAAUAGUCAUAGAUNNNNNNNNNNNNNNNNNNNNNNNNNNNNNNNNNNNNNNNNNNNNNNNNNNNNNNNNNNNNNNNNNNNNNNNNNNNNNNNNNNNNNNNNNNNNNNNNNNNNGACUUUAAGAAAUGAUAUGUAGCUACAGAUAUGGGUCUAAACUUAGAGAUCGAGGGGUGACUAAGAAUAGUCAUAGAUUGAUAUAAAUUCCUAGUCUUUUAUGUUUUAAUAAAAGAUAUUUGAAAGUUAUCUCAAGAUCUAAAUAUUUAAGAUUGUCGAUUUGAGGGAUAUUAUGUCCCUCGGUUUGAAAAUAGGGGUUAAUCAUAUAAUCCUGAAGAUUUUAGAAGUUUAAGGUAACUUUCUCAAUGAUGAGAAAGGGAUUAGGAUGGAUCUUCUUAAAAAAAUACCUUAUUUCUAUGAAUUCAUACAUCCCACAAAAUAAUGGAAAUUUUUUUCAUAAGAUGCUGAAAAAUUUUGAAGUUAAUUUUAUGGUUUUUAUACACCGUUUCAAGCCAACCAUAUGAUAUCUUUGAAAGUUUAUGUAUUAGAUAUAAUAUUUCGAAGAAAUAAAAAUAUAUCAUUUAAGUAAAAGUAAGUCUUUAUUUAAUAAUACAAUUUCGCAUAUUAAGGUUAAAACUGUAAAUAAAAAAAAAUUGCUAGUUUUUAUUCUAUAGAAAUUUAAGAACUAUUUUUUAACCAUCAUUUACUUCAAAAGUAGUUAUAUAUAGAAAAACAUUGAUAUCAAAUAUUAAUUAAAUUUUGUUUUAGCUUCAAAAUCUAAAUUAUAAGAAUAAAAUUAAUAAAAUAAAUUUCUUUAUAAUUCUAGUUUUAUUUUAUAUAUUCAAUAUACUUCCCAUAAAUCCACCAUCGUCUUACUAUGUUUUAAUCUUAAUUAAUUAUAACUAAUAAAUAAAUUUAAGCAUAAUUUAACAUUAUUCUAAAAAUAUGUCAUAAAUAGUAAAUAAUAAUUUUAAAAACAGUGAAUUAUUUAUAAAGGGUAAACACUAUCAACUUUUCUUUCAUGACUGGUGGAAUAUUCUUUAGCAACAACUCUAAUUAAUGUGGUUACAUCUACAAUAAAACCAAAUAAUCACGAUUCUAACUAAAAAGUUUCUACAUGAAUAGUAAUUAGGUAGAAAUUGAGGAACUUCCAACUCUAAAACUCAAAAUAUUUAGCAACAACUAGUUAGAUUUUAUGAAAGUUCCAAGACAUAAAAAAUUUAAAUUUUAUGAAGUCAAGCUAAUCCCCAACCUCCGUUAAUCACUUGUGAGAGAGGGUGAAUUAAGUGAUGAUUAAUUUAUGUGCAACAAUAAAUAAUUAAAUAGAUAAUGGAAUAAAAAGAGGUAGGAGAUGAGAAGCAAACUUCAAUUUUUAUAAUGGUUCAACCCAAUCUCGAUCUAUGCUCAUUCCAAUCAAGUUUCAACCCUAAGCCAAGGAUCCCAUUAAACCAUUGCUUCAACCAAGCCUUGAAUUGCUUUUAAUUGGAUUGUUGGUUCAAAUGGAUAUUCUACAAAGCUCCUCAAGUGAUUAUUUAUACUUGAAUUCUUUUGUCCCAAUACUUUAUAACUGAAUAAAGGUGAACAACUCUAGUUUAUAAAUUUAUGUUCUAGGAAUACAAUAAUAAACUAUGAUUGAAGAUAUUGUAUUAAAGGAUUGCAAAUUUUGCUUAAAUACAUUCAAGGAUAAUAGUAAGCUUGUUGGAGAAAACAAUAUACUCUCUCAAUGAUGAAUGUGUAAAUGAAGUCUUAUAUAUAUGAAUUGGUAACUCAAAUUAGACGUUAGGUACAAAAGAUUACCUCAACUAGUUGAACAUAGUGAUUAACUGACCAAUUAGUCAUUAAAGCUCAUAAAAGUACUACAACAAUGACUAUUAGUCAUAGUUGGUUUGAUUGGUCUCACCAAGUGGCUCAAUUAGUGGCUUGACCAAUUGAGGCUCUACUUGAACCAAUGACCAAUUUCUAGAGCACUUCUCAAAGCCUCCAAAGUCACCUCAUUAGUCGCACCUAUUAGUUGAUCGAUCUCCCUCAAUUCUGUAAAAUUUGAAUAACUUUUGAAAUGAUUUUGAAAGUAUUUCAUUCAAAAGAAUUUUCACCCCAAUUUAUAAAAAUUGUAGCAGAUGAGAAUGACAAUGAUCCACAAUCUACUACAAUGAAAAGGGAAUCAAAAUCUUAACAAGAGUAAAAUUUGGUUUUUCAUAAGAAUGAACUUUUGUUUAUAUAUUCUUUCUACUACUACAGUAGUAAAAAAAUGGAAUGAAUUUUUCAUUCCCGCUUGCUCUUCUAUAUUCCAAAUAUGUCGGUUAAAUGAACUAGGAUGUUUUUAUUUUAUGAUUCUCAUUGUAAUAGACUCAUAAAGGAAAAAUAAUUUAAAUAUUCUUUAGUUUUUUAUUAAGAUAAGUAACUUUUGUUUUUUAACUACCUCCUUAAUUUUAAAUUUUGUAGAUUUUGCACAUGAUUAAUCUCUUUCAAAGCUUUAAAUUCAGGGGAUCGAUGAAGUUAUACUAUUCUAAUAGUUGUAUAAAUUAAAUAUAAAUAUGGUGCUAACAAUCUACUGAGUUUCGAAUUUUUUUUAUGAUUUUCGAUUUUAUUAGUUUAAUAAUUCAAUAUAAAUAAUUAACAGGUGGAAUACUUCAAGAAAUUAGUUCCCGAGUAUAAGUGUGUUCAAGUCUUUUACAAAAUAGUGUAGAGAAAAACAAAUUAUUACAUCUCUUUAUACCUAUCUAUUUUAAUAAGGUGGAUAAAGAAAGAUACCAAAAAAAUUAAAAAGUACCUUAGAUUUUUAUUCACGGUUGACAUAUAAAUAUAAAUGGAUAGAAAGUGCCUUCAAACGAAUAUUUAUGUGAUGAAUAUAUUAGACUAUAAAGAAAAGAAAGGUCUGGUAUGGAGAUAUGUUGGGAAAAUGGAAGAAUAUUUUAUGACUCCUUGAUUGUAUAUAGUUUUAUAAUGUACAUAGUGAAUUCAUUAUUUGAUCCAUGUAUAAGAUUUUUUUAAGACUCAAUAAUUAUUUAUGAUUUUAUUGCAUCCAUAAUGAAAUGAUUUUUCUGGUAGAUGUAUAUAAUCAUAGUCUAUGGAACAAAAUUAAAACUUCGUGCAACUUCUUCAACCACAACUUAGAGAUUGGUAUAGAUUUAUUUAUUUAAAAAGCUGAUAGUACAACAUCCAUGCCUCCGUCAAUCUCCUUACAUGACUUAUUUUUAGCAUAACUACUUAAGGAGUAGUUUAUUUAUUUAUGGUAAACGAGGCCUAAGAUGGGUGUCGGCUCUCACACCUUAAGCGCGCGGCUCUAUUUCCGGGCACAGAUAGGGAUGGCAACGGGGCGGGUUCGGGGCGGGGCGCCCCCCUCCCAACCCCGCCCCGUUUAUUUAAACCAAUUCCCAUCCCCGUCCCAUUUAAAAAAUUAAACGGGGCGGGGCGGGGCGGGGCGGGGCGGGGCGGGUAUGCUACAUUCCCAUACCCGUCCCGUUUAACUUUUUAUUUAAUUUUAAUUUUAAUUUUUUUAAAAAAUUACUUUUAAAUUUUUUUAAUUAUAUUAAAAUAAAUAUAUUUUAUAAAUAAUUAAAUAAUUAUAUUUUUUAUAACUUAUUUUAUUAAAAAUAAUUUUUUAUUAUCUAUAUAUUAAAAAUAAUAAAAUAAAAAUUAAAUUAAUUUAAUUUUAAAUUUUAAAUUAAAUUUAAUUUUAAUUUUAAUUUUAUAUAUAAUCGGGGCGGGGUGGGGCAAUACCCGAACCCGCCCCGGGUUUCAAAAAAAAUCUCAAACCCGUCCUAUACCCGUUUAGAAAAAUAAUAUCCCACCCCAUUAGGGGCGGGGCGGGGCGGGUACCCGAAAUGACCCGCCCCAUUGCCAUCCCUAGGCACAGACGAAUGAAGUACACGAGCUCCAGAUGAAGAUUCAUCUGGUCCUCGUCCAGAGGAAGAUUCAUCUUCUUCCAAUCCAGAGGACAAUUCUUCUCCCAGACACAUGCUUCGUAGUUGCCCGGGACGCCUUUGUCUGUGGCUACAAGAUGGAGUUUGUGAAGGAUGCCUUGGUCUUCGGGGAGGCGCUGAUACCACCCUUCAUACGUGUUAACGAAUUUCAGGCAGGAGCCCGUCCUACUGUUGUNNNNNNNNNNNNNNNNNNNNNNNNNNNNNNNNNNNNNNNNNNNNNNNNNNNNNNNNNNNNNNNNNNNNNNNNNNNNNNNNNNNNNNNNNNNNNNNNNNNNAGUGAAUUCAUUUUUUGAUCCAUGUAUAGGAUUUUUUUUAAGACUCAAUAAUUAUUUAUGAUUUUAUUGCAUCCAUAAUGAAAUGAUAUAAUCAUAGUCUAUGGAACAAAAGUAAAACUUCGUGCAACUUCUUCAACCACAACUUAGAGAUUGGUAUAGAUUUAUUUAUUUAAAAAGCUGAUAUUACAACAUCCAUGCCUCCGUCAAUCUCCUUACAUGACUUAUUUUUAGCAUAAGUACUUAAGGAGUAGUUUAUUUAUUUAUGGUAAACGAGGCCUAAGAUGGGUGUCGGCUCUCACACCUUAAACGCGCGGCUCUAUUUCCGGGCACAGACGAAUGAAGUACACGAGCUCCAGAUGAAGAUUCAUCUGGUCCUCGUCCAGAGGAAGAUUCAUCUUCUUCCAAUCCAGAGGACAAUUCUUCUCCCAGACACAUGCUUCGUAGUUGCCCGGGACGCCUUUGUCUGUGGCUACAAGAUGGAGUUUGUGAAGGAUGCCUUGGUCUUCGGGGAGGCGCUGAUACCACCCUUCAUACGUGUUAACGAAUUUCAGGCAGGAGCCCGUCCUCCUGUUGUGCUCCAUCACGGAGAACGUUCCCAAGAAUUGCAGCUGACCUACGUUGUGGUUCGGAGUCCAUCGUUUGCUUUCCAGUGUAGUUAUUUUUCCGCCUAGAUCUAUCUGAGUAUUUGCUCCGUCGAGUUUCAGGGGAGCCAUGUUGCGGUAGGGUUGCACCUGAGCCAUCGUGCGGCCGCCGGAGACUUGUCAAAGCUGUAGGUUUAGGAUAGGUUUUUGUGGAGGUGGUGGUGGCAGAUGUGGUGGCGGUGGCUCCAUUUAUAGACUCGGAAAUGAUGCUUAUGAUGAUGACGGAAAAUGCCCUUCAACCUUCUUGGAGCUUGAGGAAUACGAAUCUAGGGUUUCCGGCAGAGGAAGACAUCUCUGAAAAUUGACGUUGAUAUUAUCCAUUUUGCAUUUGUAGGCAUAGGAGACAAGGAAAAAAUAAAAUAAAUUAAAAUUUCUAAAUAGUUAAAAAAAAAAUUGUUAAAAUGGAAAGUAUAGCAAACCAUUAAAUGUUUCUUUUACCAUUUAUCCUGUGAGCACUAACAUUAAUUUUUAUUUUAAAAAGUAAAUUAAAAUAUUAAAUACAUUUGGUAAUUAAAUAAAUAUUUAUUUCCUACUUUAAAAUGGAAAACAUAAAACAAUAUUUGUACUAAUUAGCAAAAUACAUCUAAUGUCCACGGAGAUAUCCUUUUGGAAGAAAUGAGGGAAUACAUUUAGUGCAUUAUUAGAUGGUGGGCCUCGAGGAUAUACUCUCACAUAAAGGAAUAAAUAGAAAAAUUGACGGUUUAGAAUUUUACAUCUCUACGUUACUUUUUCAAGAUUGACAUGGGUGAUUGAUAGAAUAUUUUUUGUGAUUGAUAUUGAACAGCGGAAUCAAUUGUCCAUUUUUAUUCUUUUUUUUUUUUUUUGGGGACAACACGAUCAAUUACCCAUUUUUUUUUUAUCUUUAUGCUUGUCAUAGGUUAUCUUUGAUUCUAAAAAGUAGUAAAAGAAAAAAAGAAAAAAAAAAAAAAAAUGAGUUUGAAGUAGUAUACGAAAAUAAUUUAUAUAUAUAUAUAUAUAUAUAUAUAUUGUCAAGUUUUUUGGAAACUAAAUAGAGCUUUAAGAAUUGUUAGUUCCUAAUCUCAUUAAAUUUUUAUAUUUUUUAUUAAUUAAUGUAGAAUAAUAGAGUUUUUUUUUCUUUUUAACGUAAAACACCUAAAUCAAUUCUUCUUAUUUUGCUAUAAUAUGGAGAAGGUUAAAUUAUGGUGUAAAUAGCCUCUGAAGAGUUAUUAAUUUUUUUUAAGUCAUCUUAAGUCAUUCCUCAAUUUUUCUGUCAUAUUAUAAUAGAAAAUUCCCAUUACGGUGUAAAUACCACCCUCCUAUAAUAGAAUUCCUUGUCAUCUUAAGUCAUUCCAAUCUCAUGAUCUAGCUCAUAUGUUUUCAAAAACAGGGAGAACUCCUUAAUGCAAUUUUUAAAUUUUCACUUCAUGUGCAUCAUAAAUUAUUUUUAAAUAAUUCUAAACCUCCACAAUUUGGUGUGUAAGAAUCUUUGAUUUAGAGUGUAUUUAGUAGUGUUUCUCUUAUAAAAUAUAAGAUAAAUUUCUUUAUAAUUCUAGUUUUAUUUUAUAUAUUCAAUAUAUUUCUCAUAAAUCCACCAUCUUAUUUCUAUGUUUUAAUCUUAAUUAACAUAAUUUAAUUAUAAAUAAUAAAUAAAUUACAUAAACUUUACUCUAAAAGUAUUUCAUAAAUAAUAAAUAAUAAUUUUAAAAAGGGUGAAUUAAUUAAUUUUCUUCAUCUAAUAUAUAUUUUUUUUUAAUGAAAACUAUUUAGAGUAUGUUAGGUUCUUGGAAAAUACAAGGAAAAGGAAAAAUACUUUUAAGAAAAAUUAUUCUCCUAUUUUUGGAAACAAAGAAAAGAGAUAGAAAAAAAAAAGUAUUAUGAAAAGUUUUUAAACAUUUUCCUAAAUGAAAUGAAAAUUUGGAAGUACGUACAUUUGUCAACAAUUUUAAUUUUUUUUUCUAUUUUUUUUUCUAAUUAUUUUUUUCAAUGUUUAUGACAACUAUAGUAUUUUUUUAUUUAAUAUAUAAUAAAAUAAAUAAAUAAAAAUAAAAAUGUAUUCAAACAGCACCUCAAGCAAAAUUUAACUUCAAUUUAACUUAAAGUGCAUAUAGUAAAACUUAAUACUUUUUACUUAAUGAUUCAAAUGAACUUUUAAGUUAAAUUUUUUUAAGGGUAUUCAAUAAAACUUAAUAUUUAGUUUUUAAUUUAAAUAUUAAAAUUAUUUUAUAAAAUUAAAUUUUUUUCUAAAUCAUCAAAGUGACAUAUUUGUCUUUGUUAAUUUUAACUAUUAUGUAUAUUUUUACUAAUCUUAAAUAAUAAAUUUAUUUAUUAAAUAUUUAUAUUUAAAGUAUUGUAAAAGCAUGCUAUUAUUAUAAAGGGAUUCAAGGUAAAUUACUUAGAAUUCAACCUUAUUCUAAACACUUAAGAUGAAACUUGAGAAGUUAGUGGCCUUAUGUGAUUCUUAAAACCUGUUACCACCCUUAGUUGAAUAACUAACUAAGAGUGGAUUCACAUAGAAAGAGAUUUUUUUAAAGAUGAAAAAUAGAAAAAUGCAUAAGCCUAUUCAUGCUUAUCCAAGAGGAAAAAAAUAAGUAAAUAAAUAAGUGAAUUCCAAUUCUUAAUUAGGUUGAGGGAAUGUAGUCUUUUGAUAGCCAUGACUUAGAGGUAAGAAAUUUUGAGUCCUUGAACGAACGAGUGGUAAAGGUCAAAGUUUGAAAGGAUUGAUGGAAUGAGUAGUAAAGGAGGUUUAAAAGGAUUAAGAUAAAUACUAAAUAUCUUUUCAUGGGUUUAGUUUGAUUUGCAAUCGGUUUCCUCAAUAGGGAGGAAAAUGAAAUAACUUGACUUUUUCAACUAAGGGAUUCAAGCGCUAAAUUAGUUUAGCGAGUAAAUGGAUGAGCCAAUGCAAUCGAGAAGGUGGAAUUGGUUACCCUCAAUGUGGUGUUUGGCUUCAAUUCAGUUGAAGGGGUUUAAGUUUGAUUUCAUAUACCUUGGAGCGAGUUGCAUUACCAUAGGAAUGUAUAGUUGAUUUUCUAUAACUUAGUAAAUUGAUAUAUAUUGAUAAUAAAUAACUUUGAGUGUUAAAAAAUCAUAAAUUUUAAGAAUCUUGUUUUAUUUAUGAUUAAAGUAUUUUAGAUAGAGUAAUAAUUUGAAUUUCUCAAACACAUGGAUUGUAUUUUUAUUAUGCCCAUUAUUCUCUUUUAUUGUUAAGGAGUAGUAAUGUUCAAAUUAAAGCAAGUGAUUAAAACUAUUGAAAAAAAAAAGGUAUUUUCACACUUAAAACCUAGAUUUUAUCAUGAAUUGAGUAUUAAUAAUAUACUUUGAACUUGAAUUCAUGCGGCAUUCCAUUUUAGAGUUAAUUUGUUUAUUUAAGUGAAAAAAUAAAGUAAAAGAAGGAAAAUACAUAUUUUGGAUGAAUUUCAAGAGAAGAAGGAUACAUAAGGUUGAUGAAAGCAACAUGAGAGCCAGAACAUUCCAUUGAUGUCUAAACAGCUAGUAGAAGGAGACAGUGUCUUAGACAUUUGGUUAUGAGGACUAAGAAGGUAAACGAUUAUUUAGAAUGACUACAAAGCAAAAUAAUCAAUCAUUACAAGGGAGAAAAUCAAUUGACCUAUGGAGAAUGAUUAAUUGUCCUAGGUAAAUGUUCCUUAGAAAAUAAUGGAAGUUAUUACUUAAAAAGAGAGGAUGAUUAAUUAUCCUAAGGAAGGCUUGAUCAACUGCCUUCAUUUGAAAAACAUGCGAUUGAACAUCCCAUGCACAAAAACCUUAAUUGUCCCUUGAAUGUCGUAUAUUAUUGAAGAAUAUGAUCACAAUGAUAUCUCAUAGACACAUGGUUAUCAAGAGUUCCUUUUCAGCUAAUGAGUACAUCCAUUUCGUGGAUCAUGGGAUAGAGUGGGGCUAGAGAAUAUUCUACCACAUCAACAAUGGACAAAAGAAUUGCCCUUUCUAUCAUGUUAUAUUUAUAUGCUUCUUGAUAAUUGAUAUAGACACCAAAAUCAAUUAUCCAUCUUUUUAUUGAUGCAAGACAAUAGAAUUUAUUUUCCUUUUUUUUUUUCCAUUUUAUCACCUAAAGAAUAAAAGAAUUGUCGGUUUCUAAUCUUAUAUGCUCCAUUAUUAUGAUUGAUAUCACAAAAGAAUCAACUAUCAAUUUUUAAGCUCUUUUUUUUGUAAUUGACAUACAACAUAAAGUAAUGAGAGAAAAGAAAAAAUAAAUUUCUAAAUAAUUCGGAUAAUAACUAAAACAGUAAGGACACUGUACCAUGAAAUGCUACAUUGAUAUUAUGAGGCUUAUGUGCACGUUGGAGAUAAAUGGUGGUCAUUAAAAACAAUAAAAAUAAAGUGAAAAAUAAUUAAUUUUAUUUCAAAUUAAAAUUUUGAAAUUCAUCCUUUUGCUAUGUAUUUUAAUUUUUUUUAGAGUUUAAAAUAUAUAUAUAUAUAUAUAUAUAUAUAUAUAGAGAGAGAGAGAGAGAGAGAGAGAGAGAGAGAGAGAGAAGACUUAAAAAUAGGACACAAUUUUUAAUUUUUUUACUUUUUAUAGUAUGAUUACAAAAAUGUUUUUGUUCUUUUAAACAAUAAAAUUACAAUGAUCAAACAUACAUAAAAAAGAAUUUAUGCAUUUUAGCCCUUUUAAGUCUAGUAUAUGAUGCCAGGUGGGAGUGGUGGGGCUUCAAAAUAUUCACUGAGAAAUGGAUAGAAGGAUUGUCUAUUUCUAAUUUUUGAUAGAUUUCAAGAUUCUUUUUGUGAUUGAUGUAAUAUAAGAGAAUCAAUAAAAAGAAUUGUUUGUUUGUAAUCUUGUCACGCUUUCUUCCUCUCUUUUCUAGAAGUGCAAAAGGAAUCAAUUGUCUAUUUUUAUGCUCCUUCUCCACAAUUGAUGUGAAAAAUCAUAAUCAACUAUUGAAGAAGUAUUUAUAUAAGAAAUGAAGUCUAUCCUACGAAAAAAUAAAGAAUAUGAGGAAAAAAAUGUAAAUAAGUAAACAAUAUAAAUUAAAUAAAAAAAAUAUAGAAAACUUAACAACCAAAACAAUCAAUAUCAAGCCAUCCAUAUUUUUCAUUUUAAUACAAACAUGAAGAUCCUUCUAUUUUAGUCACGAGUACUCAUACUAUAAAUGUGAAAUUUAAUGACAAAUUUUUUUUAUUCAUGACUAAAAUUUCAUUAAUAAUUAUGAAUGUUACAUUGUAAAAGAAAAUUUUUGUCGUAAAAUAUUUUAUCAUUAAACUUUUGCUUACAAAACUAUUUUUUGUUAUUAAAAUUUGUCACGAAAAAAUUAGCGUCAAAAGUUGCCACUCCCCCAUAUGGCCAAAAAAAAUUAUGAUGAAAUGCAUAUAUUUAUGAUGAAAUUAUUUGUUAUUAAUUUUCAUUUUUCAGUAAUAAACAAUUUUUGUCAUCAAUGACAAAAUAUGCAUAUUUGUGAUGAAGUUAUUUGUCACUAACUUUCAGUUUCCAUUAAUGAAUAUUUUUUGUCACCAAAUCCUCAACCAUUUUUUGGAAAAUAUAUUUAGUGCCUAUAAUUAUUUCAGUUGCCAUAAAGAAACAAUUUCAUUUUCGAUACAAAACAUACAUUAUAACUUUUGGACUUUGGAGUUACAGUAUGAUUCCUUUAUUUGGAUCUAGGUCAAUGUAAAGAUGAGUGGCCCAAUUGUGAAAACCAUCCAAUUGGCCCACUAUGAGAGGAAAAAUGGGCCAAGAAAUCAAUGGGCCAAUAAAGUUUUAAAAUUUUGCAUCUAGAUUCAACUAGAGUAGCCCAACCCAAAUUCAUCUAAUGAAACUCAAAAGUAAUAUAUAUUCAUUGCCUAUAAGAUUUGAAUCCAAGUAAAAACAAGCUUAUUAAGUUUGGAUCGAGUCCAACUUGAAUAAAUAAUCUUUAAAUUCAGGGUGAGUUUGGAUUGAUCAUUAAUUCUAUUUAAUUAAUACUAAUAAAAUCGAAUUAUACAUAAGUAUAUGAUUAUUUUAACACAAAUAGGUAUGUUUAUAAGGGAAAAACCCUAAUGGAUUGAAAGAUAAAUGAAAAAUAUUUUUAAAAUGGGUUGAAUAAUCAUUUAUUAGAAAACUCCAAUUUAUAAAAUUUUAAAACAAAAGAAAAAAAAUAGUUUCACAUAUAACGUUUUUAAGGAACACUCGAGAGCUCCCAAUAUUUUUAAUUUUUUCAAGCAUUAUCAACUUGUUUUUUCAAAAGUAAAUAUUCGCACAUCUACGUACUUUUUAUCUCAUCACUAAACACACUAAAAUGUCUUAUAUACUCCCUCAUUUUCCCACUUUAUGUUCGUACCAUCAAUAUAACUUAACCUUAAAAGUCGAAAAGUAUAUUAGUCAAAAAAAUAUAUACAAAAAUACAUAGUUUUAUAUCAAUGAUAUUUGAAACAAAAUUAUCAACUUAUUUUUCAUCAAAUCUAACCCACAAAACCCUCUUGAAUGUAUAAUUUUCUCCUUAUUCCAGAAGCUUGAAUUGAUCAAAUAUAAAAAUAUUGGGAUGGGUUUGCAACUUGGUCUCCAUAGAAAAAAAAAUGUCCAUAAAUUUGAAAAAAGAAAAAUGUAAAUUCCUCUAUCAUUGACUAUUUUCAUCAUACCAAGAAGGAAGGUGCACGCCAAAGUUCCCUUCAUAUCCAUCAGCUUCUUUGGAGUCAAGCAAGACCCUCCAAAGAUCCAGUAGUUAAAAGUAGUUAAGACACUGAAAGAUGCAUUUACUUUUGAAAAAACAGUCUGAUCUUUCUAUCGUUGAAAACAAUGUUUAAAGUUGAAUCACAACAUUCAAAAAUAUGUAUAUAAAACUCUUACGCGUGAAUCUUACGCCUUGCGUUAUAAUUUAUUGGGCUUUUAAAAAAAAAUGAGAUUUUUUUUUUUUUCUCUACCAAGAAUAGAUAAUAUAAUUUCCAAAGCGAACCACUAAAAAUAAAAGUUGUAUCGUCGUUGAUAAUUGUUUUUUUAAAGGGUUUUUUGUUCUCCAAACCAAAAAAAAAUAGAAAAACACGUUUAACAGCCAAAAAUUAUUUUUUAUUUUUUGUUUUUAAAAACAAAAAAUUUAAUGUUUUCAAACAAUAUCUUUUAAUUAUAUUUUAUUUUUUUCACUUAAUUUUUUAAAAUUAUUUUAAAAAAUAAUUAUAUAAAUAUAUAGAAUGAUUAAAAAUAAAACACUAAACAUAAAAAUUAUUUUUAAAACAUGUUUAAAAAUAUUAAAAACAAGUUAAAAAUGUUUUAUAUUUCCAAGCAGAUCUUUGUUUUAUAAAAUAUCAUAAAAUAGUUUUCAAAAACUAUUCUUAAAAAUUGUUUUCCAAACUGUUUUCAAAAACUAUUAUCAAACAAACCCAUAAUCUCCAACAUGUCCUUUAUUUUAAUAUUUUUAAUGUAUAAAUUUAGUUAUAUAUCCUCAAUUAACCCCUUUUUUCCUCUUAUUUGUUUCUAGACUAAGAAAUAUAAUUUAAUUAUUUACAAAAAUAUGUUAUAUACUUGUAAAUACUUGAUCCGCCAUUACCUACUCUAAUAUAUGAGCUUUUAAGGCUUUGUUUUGUAACUAUUUUCAAAACUAAUUCUCAAAAAUAAUUUUUGAGAAUAAUUUUUAAAAUUGUUUUCUAAUGUUUUAUACAACAGAUGUUUGUAUGAAAAUUGAAAUAUUUUUAACUCAUUUUCUAUGUUUAAAAAUAAAAUUUAUAUGUAAUAUUUUAUUUUCAAUUAUUCUAUAAAUUAUGUUUUAAAACAUUUAUCCGAAAAAAAAUUUUAAAAAAUUAAAAGACGUUGUCUUAAAACAUCGUGUUUUUCUUAGUUUUGAAAACAAAAUACUAUUAUCUGCUUUUUGUUUUGUGAUUAUCAAAUAUAUUUUUUUAUUUUUUUAUUUUUUGUUAAAAAAAUAUAAACGAAAACAGUUAUCUAUGGUCUAAGUUUUACACCACAUGUGAGAAAAUCAUCCAUAGUCAGGAUGAUUCUCAUUGAUUGAAAACAAAAAACAAAAAUAAAUAAAUAAAAAGGAAAGAAAAACAUAAGGAAUUGACCAUAAAGCUUAAUUAUUCCUUCUUUAAACUUUAAUUAAUUAAGCAAUUAAGAUUAAAAUAAAGCUGACUUUGAAUUUUAGUCAUUAAUUAUUUUGUUUCAAGGAUAGGUUGUCUUUUGUGCUAAUGUCAGUGUGAAUUGUUUCGUAUACACUAUACAUAUAUCGGCUGAAGUUGGGAGGAAGCUGCACCUUUGAGGGCUAGACGUAUAAAUUUAGAAGAAGAGAGAAGAAGAUUUUUAGGGCACACAGUCUUGGUAAUAUCAACAGACCUCAAGCCUAGUUUUCUUAAACAAGACCAUGAAGGUAUGUAUGAUGAAGGCUAAAUUGGAAAUUUUCAAGUGAAAAAUCUGAGAUGAUUCAACCUUGGUAUAUAUUUGACUUGAUGCAGCAAAAGGUGGUGAUCAGUGUCUCCUUCAAUGGCAACAAGAAUUGUCAGUCCAAAGCCUUGAAGAUUGCAGCUGGUUUUUCAGGUAUUUAAUUUUCUCCUCAUAAUUUUUUGCAUCAGUAAUCAUUAAUCACCAAUUUGUGUGUUCAUUUUUUAAAUACAGUUCAAAUUUAACCAAAUUUAAAUUGGGUAUCGACAAAGAGUUCAAUAAAAUUUUAAAAAUCUAAAAAAUUACUUAAAAUGAUUUGUGUCGGUAUUUGAUAAGUCUCUUGUGAUAAAAAUUACUUUUUUGUAACUUUUUGGGUAAAUUCUAAAAUUAAAAAUCAUUUUAAAAUUUUAAAGAUUAGUUUAAAAUGAUUUUUUGGGUUGGUAUUUAAUAAAUUCUCCUUAUCAAUAUUAUUAUUAUUAUUAUUAUUAUUAUUAUUAUUAAAAGUACUUUAUAUUUAUAUGGUGAAAAAGAGAAAAAAUAAAAAUAAAGACAAGAUAGAAGGAUGACUAGCAGGAGAAAGAAAGAAAGGAAAAGAAUUUGAUCCUUUCACUAUAAGUUGGGCCAGGCCUGCCUAAGGAUUUUGGGCUAAAGUCCAAUCCCACCCAAGCCAACAUGAUCAAUUCCUUUAGGGUAAAAAUUGGGCUGAUUUUUUAAACACAAACCCAAUCCACCAAACCACUAAAAUGCAUCUCAAAAUAUGAUAUGGAAGGAAAAUCCCUGAAUUAAGACUAGCUACAAUUUUGCCAAAUGCUUAGGCUUAGAAUUAAGGUGGUGUUUGUUUUUUUACUUAAUUCUAAAUAGAACCUUAAUGCUUAAUAGUAUUAAAUAUUAUGUUGUUUGUUUUUGUAGUAUUUUAUUUCUAUUAAGUAUUAAAAAGUAAAAAAAAUCAUUGUGUUAUUUUUUCUAUUUAGAAAAAGUCACAUAUUUUGGUUUUUUCUAUUUAGUAAAAAGUUUAUAAUAAGUCAUGAAAAAGUAAAAAAACAAACAACCUAAAUUCUAAAACUAAAUGGUUUUCAACAAAAAGCCAAAAAAACAAACACCACCUAAGUCUGACUUAGAAAUCAACAUUUUAGCUUACCAAAGCCCAAAGUUUCACCUGUAUCAUGGAUCCAAGCCAAGAGGGCCUACCCUCUUCACAUAUCUAAAUAGUAGGAAAUGGGAAUUAACUUUUUAACCUAGACCAACUCACAUGAGCCAAGAGCAAUCCAAACCCAACUUUAAUCUAGGCUAAGCUUACUUCUUUAUUAAGUUAAGACUUAAGACUCAAGUAAAAUCGCAAGAUUCUAAUGGUUAUUCAUGAUGUGAUAGGUGUUAACUCUACAGCAUUAGAAGGUGAGGACAAGAAUCAAAUUGUUGUUGUAGGUGAGAACAUCGAUGUGAUUGAGCUCGUAAAGAAGUUGAAGAAGAAGGUUGGAUUCUCUACACUCAAUAGUGUGACUCUGGUGGAUGGAGAAGAAAAAGAGGAGGACGAAGAAGAGAAGCCUAUUGAGUGGCCACACCAUCAAGUGGGCAUACCACAUUAUUACCUCUAUGAUGUUCCUUUAAAUCGCUCAAACGACUGUAGUAUCCUCUAAAAGAUAGAGAAGUUACUACAACAUUAUGUAACAAUAAAUUACCUAUAAAGGAAUAUUAUCUUAAGUAAUUAUCAUUUGCCAUUUAGAAAGUCAAAAACCUAAGUUCAUCGAGAUCUAUAUCUUAGAAAAUAAAAAUAAAUAUUGCUAAAGGUCAUAUUUCAAAGUAUAGAAGUAUAAAUUUGUUAGUUCAAUCUUAGGGUGUAACUUGGAAAGAUUGGCCCAAUGUAACUCGAAUCCAAUCCAAUGUUUGGGUGAGGUUAAGUAAACAUUUUUAAUAAUCGGGUUGAUCUCAAGUUGAAUUUCUUCAAUUUGAGCUUAAUUUGGAUGUGAUUGAGUUAGGACUCAAGCCAAAAACUUCCUCGCUCUUUGAAAAUUGCAUCUUUUGGUAAUGCACCACAUACAUCUAAGCCAAUACAAAUCAAGAAGCAAACUGUUGAAUCCACAUUGGUAGCAUCACUAUUUGUUGAAUCCACAUUGGUAGCAUCACUAUUUGUCUAACAACAACUUCAAGACAUGAUAACUUACAUUAUCAUAAUGCAAUAUGUCGCACACUUACAAAGUACACUCAUGUAUUAUAAGCUUUACCCCAAGAUGAUUGAUAACCCACAUACGCAUACGAGUUAUCAACCUCCAAAGUUUCAAUUAUUCGAUGAAAAGGGAAACUCAAAGCAAUACGCUGUCUAUUUCAUCAAAACUUGCAAUAAUGCAGAAAGCUCGGACCAAGGUUCAAACAAUCCAAACUUAACCUAAACAUGAUUUAAUAUUUUUAAAUAAUAUUCUUUUUUUUUUAAUUUUUAAGAAAAGUAUAAAAUUAGAAUUAUAUCAUUUUUUAUUUUUUAGAAAAAUAUAUAAGUUUUUUUUUUCUUGAUGCUAAUUUGAAUUUUUUUCUUAUUUAUUAUUUAACUUUUGGUAUAAAUAGAUAUAAAAAAAUGUAAAAUAAAAAACACAAUACAGGCCAGUUUAACUCAACUAACUGAAACUCAACCCAAAUAUAGGAAAAUGAGAUUAAAUUAGACUUGAAUUGAGUAGCUCAAAUUAGAUAUCAGAUUUUGCUGAAAUCGGAUAUAUUGUUUCUUAAUUCGGGUUAGACUUGAUAUAACAUCCACCCGACGAAGUAGCAAAAUUAGCCCCAAUUCCAUCUUAUCCCACAAAAUUAAUCUUCUUUCUCUACAAUCUUUGAAGUCAAACUCCUCGCUAGGUUAUUGAUCACAUCAACAGCAGAUAAAAGUGAUCUAAUUCCUCCCAUCUAAGAAAUAAUUCCAGCUUUUUAUUGAUUUACAGUCCUUAAAGCUUAUAAUUUUAAGCUGCUUCAAUCCACAAAAGAAGGGGAAAAACCAUUUGCUGUGCCAAAAUAUUAUUUGAUAAUCCAAAACACCAAAAUCCAAAAUUUUCCAUCAGCAUUUCCGCAAAUUACAAACCACAUUCUUUGGAAGCCUUCAGACGGGUUGAAAGGAAGUGAGCUGCUUGGUGCCAUCCAGCUUCUCCCAAACAACCGCCUCGUACUUCUUCGAUGCGGCGCCGUUCUUGGCCAUCACCGUUAGCCGGUAGUUGGUGCCGGCGACGACCUGAGUCUGGCCCUUUAUCACGCUCUGGAACUUCAGCUUCGUCGCGGUCAACUUGUUGUGCGCCUCCACCGCGAACUUCCCGAUCUCUUGCACGUGAGGGUUCUUCACGUCCUCGAUCGGGCUCCAGCCGCCGAGAAGAGCAUCGGAGGCUACUGCGACGAGGAGGAGCGAAGCCAGGAGGAGAGAAAGACGGUAUUGCCCCCGCGCCAUCGCCGUUGGGUUUCUUUCUGAAGCAGUGUGAAGCGGAGGUAUGGUAGUCGGUUGGAUUUAUAGCCGGAGGCCCAUUAAAGAAGUGGGGCCCAUUUUGUUGGGUUCCCAAUGUGGAGAAAGAUAAGUGGUCCAGUUGUGCAGCCCCCGCUGACCACCCAAGUCCUCCCUAAAGGAAGUGGAAAAUAUCGUAGUAAUUUCUUAACAAAGCCGUUUCGUAAGAAACAUCAUCCAGGGCAAGAAAAAGAAAAAUGCUUUCCUCAGGAUACUUCCUUGUUAAGCUCUUUUUAAAGACCAAAGCUUUAUUAAAAGGACCCCAUUUUUAUUUUUUUAUUUUUUUUUAUUAAAAGAAUAAAAAAGCCAUAUCUAAACAAGAAAUUCAAGGACACCAAAUCCGGUGAAUUAUUACAAAUAUAUAGGAGGUUAGAAAUUAAGAUUUGAGUCCGAAAGAUUAGACCAGAACAGGCUCAAAGAAGGUAAGGUUCUUGAAGUUCUCCCAUGGUUUCUCCCACACAUAAGCUUUAUACAUCUUUGGCAGCUCACUUUCAAGUGCUUGAAUCACCAUCCUAACAUUCAGGCCUUCGGCAAUCUGCGCUUGAGCCUGAAACACCGCAUAGAAAAACAGGCUGGAGGCGGUGGAGUUGUUGUAUGCCAGCACUGCAAACAUGCCUAAAUCUUGAACGUGAGUGUUGUUGAUCACGUCCGGAAUCUCAUUCCAUCCACCCGCUGUCACUGGGGCUGCUGCAUUUGCACUUAAAAUGAUGAAGACGAAGACACAGAAGAGCCGGCACAAGAACUGACUUUGAAGUUCCAUUUUUUUUUUUUUCUUUUUGGUGUUUGGAGCUGCCCAAUCUGAGAUUUUAAAUGGGAUUCUUGAUAUAAUAUGAAUAGAUUUAUGCCUAUAGUCAUAAAUUUCAUAUCAAUCAUUUAUCAUCUCUGCAUGAAAUUAUGAAUCAUAAGUAUGACUUUUUUUUGUGCAGAGAAUUAUGACAGUAGUAAAUGUGUGAGAAACUAAAUGGGCAUUUAAAAGGAUGAAAGGCCGUGUACUGUGCUGCAGAAAACUGAAUAGGUAGAUUACAGUUGCACCCACAAAGACUUUCCUUUCUCCAUUUUACUUCUAUGCUGUGUAAAUGACACAGCCAUAAAGCUUCUGUACUAUAUUUAAAGAGGAACAGAGGAGUUUCUGGUCAAGGAGUAAUAUGCCUAAAGGAGAUGAUAUGUAAUUAACAUGUAUAUGCAACUUAAACCUGAAUUUUUCGAGGUCUGAUUGGUUACUUGAAAGUGUCCUAGAAUCUGUUCGCUUGCUAUUGAGGAAGGAGGCCAUUGCAUAUGUUUCUCUGCAUCUUGGAUACAGCAAGAGAUGACCAGCAAACUGAGCUAAAUACCGACAAAUGGAGGUCUAGUUUGAUAAUUUUAUCAUCCCAUUGUUGAAUGACAGUUGACCAUACGAAGAACCAGUACGUAGGGCUCACCUUGGUGCUGAUUUUCAACAAUUUGCUUAAGUGGAUGUAGACUCAAAAUGAAAAUUGCUUUCAAAGUUGUUAUUUUAUCAAUAAUGGCAUGAACUUUUAAUAUUGAUGAUCAGAAACAAAGUAUGAAGGCUAACAAAUCCACCAUGGGAAGAAUCAUUAGAUAAAUAAACAAUUGCCAUAGGAGAAAAGCAUAUGCCUUUUUCCCUUUCAUGAUUCUUGUCACAGACGAUUUCUUUUCCUUUCCUUAUUACUAUACAAUAAGGCUACUAAUAUGCCAAGAGCCAAUGCCUUGUCAUGGUAGCGGCCGAUCCUAUGCAUUUCACCUUGUUUGUAGAGAAUUUGCAAACUGGUUGCAGGGAUUUGAAUGGUGUCACAUUUCUUCGUUUGUCCCAAAAACAUAUGCUCCUGCAAGGGACAACAUUAGUCAUUAAACAUAUAUGAUGAAUCAAAAUUCCUCCUAAUUAAGGAAAAAAUUUGUUUACCGAGUGAAGGCAUUAGAAGGGAUAAUGCAGCAAUUCCAGCAAUCUUAAGAGGCACUCCUGUCUUGAUCAUAUCUUUGAUUUCAAUGUGUCCUGUUGUGAACCCGACGACAUUCGAAGGAGUUCCAGUGGGCAGCAAGUAAGAAAACUGUGCUCCAAUGGCUCCAGGAACCAUGAGAAGGAGCGGGUGGACGUGCAUGGUUUGGGCUACUUGGAUGAGAAGGGGAACAAGGAGUGUUGUUGUGGAAUUGUUUGAGGUGAACUCAGUAACCGUACUACUUAUGAGACAGACGGCAGGCGCAAUGACCAAGUAGGGAGCGUGUUCCAGGAAAGUCAAGGCCUUUGACAACACAUCAGCCAGGCCACUUGACCGGACUCCGGCAGCUAUGGCAAAGCCAGCGCCUAGUAGCAAUACGAUGUUCCAUGGCAGCUUCUUGCAUUUGUUCCAGUCCAUCAGCUUCUCCCCCUUUUGUUUCUUGUUUGGAAUUAUGAACAAUAAGGUUGCCAUCAUCACCUACACAUUGGAUCAAACUCAGUCAUGUAGAAGUCCUUAUUUGUUGAGAGAUUUCAAUGGAAAUAGCAUUUUCUUAAAGACGAUUCUCACACUGGCAGUCCCAUCGCCUACACGACCAUUGAAGAGAGCUCCCCAUCCAGGAACAUCAUCUGUUAUGCUCCUUGUCAUCCAUAAGACUAUUAGCAUCUGCACCAACCCUCAAGGAUUAAUCUACAGACAUUUAUGUCCCUUUGGCUAAAAAGAAAAUUUUUUUAAGUCCUACUCUUUUAAAAUAAAAAAAUAUAUAUAUUAAACUAUGUGCAAAGUAUUAUUGUUAAUUUAUUUGUUUUCAAUUGUUACCAAACAUUGAAACGGAGAUAAAUACUGAUUUCAACCUUACAUUUUUAAAUGCAUCCAAAUACAAAGAUUGAAAUCACCGCCUAAUUUAUUCCUAUUUAAGGAGAUAAGGGAAUGAAAACAAAAUAUUCAUUUUCAUUCCUCAUUUUCUAGAUCAGGCUUUAUUAGAAUCUAUUCCCAUUACUUAGAAGGUUAUGGCACUUGUCUGCUUACCGAAAACACAGCCAACACCAUCUUUUCAGCAAAAGCCAUUGGACCUGUCCACACAUGUAUAUGUAUAGGUAAAGAGGCUGAAGAUUUUCUACAAUUGGGUGUAGGAAGUGGUAAAUUGAAGUAUUGAGUAUCAAAAUUUUGGGAGUUUACCCAACAUUUGAAGCUCUCUUCUGAGACUGGAUUUGUCCAAAUAAGCAGACAGAGCAGGACCUGCACCCCUGGAGCAGUACAAGCAGCAGAGAAUAGCCCACAAGGCAAAGAAAACCAGCAAAGCCAAAGGGAAGCCAAAGAAGAACCAUGUAUUAAAGCUGAUGGGGUCUGCCUCUGGGAAGUAGCUCUUCCACAUUCCUACCAAUAUGAGAUUGACGCCAGUACCGGUGAGAGUGCUCAUUCCCCCAACUGCAGCAGAGUAUAACACCCCAAGCACCACUGCUCUGCAGAAUUUAUCCACAUGGGGAGAUCGAGUUGGACCUGAUGGUAGCCUCUGUAAGAUACCAGUGGCUACGGGCAUCAUCAUCAGUGCUGCUGCAACAUUGUGCAUCCACAUACUCACAAAGGCUGUGGUGGCACAGAUGCCAAGGAGAAGCAAUGGGGGAUUCAGUGGAUCUCCACAAAAGAUCAAGGUAAUCUGCAUGGCCCACAUGUCCAUUUUUUUUUAAAUAAUUCACCCACAACUUUAGACUACUUUCAUAAUAGUCAAUUAUGAAGGUGGAGGUAUGUACUAUAUUCCCAUCAAAAGGUAAGCAACAAGCAUGCUUCAUAAUAACCAAAAAAACUCAAAUUUGUUAAGAAAUUAUAUAAUCAACUCCAACCCAUAAAACCCAUCUGAAAGAAGAGAUAAGAAAUCUAAAAUUUAUAUGGGAUUUUUAUGGAUCUAACAUUUAUGACAGAGACUAUGAGAAGAUGAUGCGGAAAAGAGAAGAAAUGUAAUGGGCUUAUCUCAAAAAUUGUGUGGAAACUCACAUUGAGGGCCAAUCUUCUAUGGAUGUUGUAAUGCUCAACAGCAAGAGCAAGUAUGAAGCUUCCAAGAACAAGGGAAAUCACAUCAUCCAUGUAGGAGUGAGCAACAUCAUCUGCGGAAGCGAUUCCAAAGAGGGGAAAGAGGAAGAGAGGAGACAUGGAGGUGAUGGGCAUAGGCACAGCUUCAGUGAUCCACCAAGCAAACAUCCAAGCAAGAACAGCCAACAUGUUCCUGCUGGUCACAGGGCCAUCAAGCUUCACAAAAAGGCAGAUGAGGGUGCAGAGCAGAGGCCCCAAGAGGAUGAAGAAGCUCUUGGGUGUGAAAAUGGACAUGAGAGACGCCCCAUUUGAGGUCUCCAUUGUGGUCGCCUGGACUGGAAGCAGUGGAGCUUUGAGGUCAUCAGAAACCCCAUUCGUGUUAUGCUCACUAUUCAUUUUGCAUAGAAGGAUGGUGAACAAGAAGAAGAAGAUGGUAUUUGUAUGUAAUGUUUACCGGGGGAUAACGUUGAUAUAUAUGGGCUCUGGUUUUUGAAGAUGGAGAUGAAUUAAAUGGACGAAAUAAUCUUUUCUUUUCCUUUCCUUUUUUUUGCCCUUUUCUUUUUCUUUUCUAUGUCUUGUUUGGAGCCAAACUAAUCAAUGCUCUUUAUUUUCGUCAUCCCUUCUCCAUUAUUCAACUCCUCCAAUUAUCCAUCUAACUUGUGGUCCUUGUUUGGCUGUCAUUUUUGUUGCUUGGGAUUGAAUUUUUCUUAUUCUUGUUUUUUCUGCUCCCAAAAAUGAAAAACCUAAAAUAGAAUUUGAUAUAAUUAAUUUUAGUAAAACUCUAUCCUUUUAGUAUAUAAUUAAAUUUAAAUUUAUGAAUAAAAUUAAAUAAAUAAAUAAUAUUUACAUUUCAAUAAAGGAGAUGAUGGAAAAAUUUUAAAUAUAUAUAUAUAUAUAUAAAAAAUAAUACGGUUGUUAAGUAUACAAAUAUUCAAAAUUAGUUAUGGGGCAAAAUUGGAUAUAGACAGCAACCCAAAAAUUAGUCGUGUUCUAGCAAUGAGUGGUUGAUGGGGGUCCAGCUGGACAAGUUCCAUCAAUCAAUUAAAGUUAAUUUACUGCUGGAUGGCUCCGAUUGCUCCAAGCCCUAUGACGUGGAAGGGCUGGCGGCUAAUAGUGACGUGUCAUACAUUAGUCUGACUCAAACGGCCCAGAGAUAUCGAUCCAACAAAUCAGCGCCAGACCCUUAGUUUUUUUUUUUUAAUCUUUUUUAAACUUAAAUAUGAUUUGAGAGUGACCAAAUUUAGUAUUAAUGAUGAGUCAUUCGUCAAGAUUAGGCUAAUCCAUUAGCAAAAUCGUUUACCAAAGAGUCAACGUCUCUAUAAUUAAGAAAGUUUAUUAAAAUUUUCUAAAUGAGAAAUUAAGAAUUACUAUAUUUAAGAGCCUCACAUGAGGUUGGGCUUUUAAAUGAAAAUUAAGAUCAUCAUAUUUAUUGACAUUAAUUUUAUAAAGUGUUUUUAAUAUUUUGAAUAUUUUAAAAAUAAAAAUUUUUAAUUGUUAAAAAUAUUAUAAAUAUUUUUUAAAAUUACUGUCAAACAUUCUAAAAGUGUUUUUUAUAAUAACUUUUUAUAAUAUUUUUAAUAUUUAUAAUAUGAUAAAAAAAAACUUAGAUGUUAAAAAUAUUAAAAAUGCUUCCUAAAAUCAUUAUCAUACAGGACUCUUAAUGUUAUCGCAGCACCUUAGCAGGCAUGGUGCAGGCUUAGCCUUCAUGGCAUGACCUUGAUUACUCAUUAUAUAACAAACUAAAAGAAAAAUUAUUUGAAAAUGGUGUCAUAAAAGAAUUGAAAAUUUUACGAUUGUUUUGAAAUUAUUGAAAGUUGUUUUUUUAAUAUGAAACUUUCAUAAUUUUUCAUAUCAAGCAUUCAUUAAAAUAAAAUAAAAAUGAAUAAAUUCAUAUUAAAAAUGUCUUUUGAAAAAAUAUUUUUAUAUAAAGCAUGGUUAAUUUUCAUUUAAAACGCUCCACUAUUUCUAUGUCAAAAACUAUAUUUUUAAAAGACAUACGAAGUAUGUAGAAGAUGUUUUUUUAAAAGAUAACUUUAAUGUUACCCUUUUUUGUUUUAAGAAAAUAAUUUUUUUUUUAUGAAAGUUGUUAUUUUAAAAAGCAAUCUCAGUGUAAAUUAAUUUUUUAUGAAAAUUGUUAUUCAUGAAAAGAGAAUGUAGAAAGUUGUCUUUUUACAUUAAGAUUAGGCAACGUGUCAAUUUUUAAGCAAGGAGGAGGGCUUUACUCCCCACUCCCCACAUAUUUCUCAUUUCAUAAUCGCAAUUGUGACACUGCCCAAAUGGGCUUGCUAAAAUAAUGAAGAUGUAUCCAAAUUGGCUUGCUAAAAUGAUGAAGAUGUAUCCAAAUUGGCUAUCUACUCUUUCAAGGACAAGACUAAGAAUGAAUAAAUAAAUAACCUUGGAGCCUACUCGACCUAGGUUUCCAUUAUCUUAUAAUUAAUUUUUUUUAAUAAAACUAACAUAUAAAAUUGUAAAAAUAUCUUUUAACUUAAGGAUAAUAGUUUUCAAAAACAGUUGUGAAGAACAAUCUUUGAGAGCAGUUUUUUAAAAUUAUUCUAUAAUAUUUUGUAAAAUAAAAGUCUAGUUAUAAACUUAAAAUAUUUUUAAAAUUAAAUAUAUUUAAAAAAUAAUUUUUAUUUUUAAUUAUUUUAUAUAUUUGUAUAAUUAUUUUUAAAAAAAAUUCUUAAAACACAAAUGAAAAUAGCAAAAAACAAAUAAAAUAUGUUUUUUAAAAUACCAUAUUUUUAUUUUUAAAAAUUAAAGAAAAAAUAGUUAUAAACAUGUUUUUCUUUUUUUCUAAAAACCAUAAAACUGCAGUCAAAAAAGUUUCCAAACAAGCCCAUAUCCUCCUUCCCCCACCAGAAUCCUUUCAGCAAGGUGAAGAAUAAAUUGAGGUGGGUGCAGAGGGAGAAAUAGUGGGUGUAUUAAGAACACCCAAACUAAAAUUUUCACCCCAUUUUGCCCUGUACAAGGUUCAAAAUUACAAGAUCCAUGUACCUAGGCUCACAACACGAGGAGGACAAAGUGGUCUUUAUGCAGCAGCAGUCUUGAUUCAUGAAUGACAAUCCUCCAAAUGUAAUCAAGUUUGCAACCAUCGUUGUCCUUCACAAUGCAGCCUUACCAUUAAGAUGGAAAAAGAGACGUGCAUCCAACUAUCCAAGGAAUAGAUGGCAUGCCAAUAAUACACUUGUGGUCUACACCCUUCACAUUCCUCUAGAGGACAUGUGCAUAAUUGUAAAUUACUUCCUAAAAUUCUUUUAAUAUUUGUCUGUACCAUGUUUGAUCACAUCACAUGUGAUGUUUUAUGGUUACUAGUAACCCAUCAAAACCAAAAUAAUGGUUUUAAUGCUUUGUAAACUACAAUAAUCGUCUUUAUUCUUCCACCCAUAUUUCAAUUUAAUUUUUAAUUUUUUAAAUAAUAUUAAUCCUAAAUUAUAUACAAAUACCAAAUAAAUCUUUUUGUUAAGAUUUUUUGUUCAAAUGAAUUAGACUAUUUAAGGUUAUAAGUUAGGCAGGUUGAUCGGAUUGAUAACUAAUCCAAACCAAAAUCAAAUUAAAUAACAAUCGAUUUUAGUUCAACUCAACCUAAAUUCUAAUUCAAAUUACUCAAUUCAGCCUUAUUUUUUAAAACUCAAAAUGAACUCGAGUUGUUCAAAUUAAAUUCAAGUUGGUUAGGUUAUAUAAAAUUAAUUCAAAAUUUUAAAACUACAUUUCUUUUGUCUUUGACUUUGCUUUUUAAUGGAAUUCACUUUAUUAAGUUAUACUCGAGCAUCAGCUAUGACGUUUCGUGUUUUUCCAUGUAGUCCGAGAUUAUUGUUAUUGACUUUUUGUGGAGAAACGUAUCGGACACCAUUUAGAAAUUUUUUACGGAAAAAUUUAAAAAAUUAGGGUAUGUUUAGGGGCGGUUUUCGAAAAUAGUUUUUUAUUUAAAAAAUAAAAAACACGUUUUAGUUGUUUUUAUUUUUUAUUUUAUAAUUAUUUUUAAAAAUAAUUAUAUAAAUAUGUAUAAUGAUUAAAAAUAAAAUUUUAAAGGUAAAAAUUAUUUUUAAAUAUAUUUAAAAAUAUUAAACACAAAUUAAAAAUAUUUGAGGUUUUUAAAUAUAUUUUUGUUUAAUAAAAUAUUAAAAAUUAAUUUUUUAAAAUUAUUCUUAAAAACUAUUUUUUAGAACAGUUUUAAAAACUAAUUUUAAAAAUGAGCCUUAAUAUACUUGAAAAAUUAAUGGGUUUUUUGUUGUUGACUGUUGACACCAGGAAUUCACCAAAUAGGCUAGUAGGGUUUCCAAUGGGCUGGAGUUGGGUCUAAAGAUUUUGGGCCGGGCUUAAACUUAUGGCUGGGCCGAAAAAGUCCACGAGUGAGAAGCUGAAUAUCAUUAAGUGAUUUUUAUUUUUUUUUACUCAUGUCCCAUUACUCUUAUGUUGUUCAUUUUUAUUCAUAUUAAAAAUAUUUACAAAUUAAUUGUCAUAUUUAUUUUCAUUUUAAUUUGAAAACUAAUAAUCAUUUAAUAUUUUUCCAAAUGUCUCAAAAUAUCAUAAUCUAUUACCAUAAUAAAAAAUUUUGUAAUGACUAAUUAUGUAAAUAUUAUGAAAUUAAUUAGGAUUUUUAUUUUUGCUUUGAUGCUUUGAAAGUAUUAUAAUUUUUCUAAAUAGGUCAAAUUUAUUAGUAGUUUGGGCCGGGCCACUCUUGUGAUUGGGUUGUCCUAACCUGUUACCCAACCCAAACCCAAAUGGGCCAAGCCCAUAUGGCAGGCCUACGCCUACCAUCUCUCAUAUUAGAUUUAUCAUGGUAUCGUUUUCGUCUCCUUCACAUUUCCACCAACUUUUGUCAUCGGAGAGAGUGUGCUAGAAGGUAUUGUUCUAGUCUUCCCUAAGUGCAGACAAUUGAAGUCGUAUUAAAGACACAAAAACCCUUGAUGGUGAUGGUAUUUUUUACUAUCAAAUGAUUCGAAUUAAGGGGGCUUUCGGUAAAAUCUAUUAUUUAUUAUUUAAUAAAUUAAAACAUAUAUUUGAUGUAUACUUUAAUUUAAACUUAUAAUUAAUUUUAAAUGAUAAAAUUGACAUAUUCAUCCUUGUUAAUUUUAAUUAAUAUUAAAUAAUAAUUUUAUUUGUUAAAUAUUCAUGUUUAAAGCAUUAUAGAUGUAUAGAAUAAGAAUAAAAUGUUAACUAGAAAAAAAUGUAUUAUUGAUAUGAAAUUUGGAUAGUGAAAUAUCUCUCAAUAGAUGUGGAUAAAUAAAAUAAAAAAUAGUUAAAAUAAAAAAAUAAUUUUUUUUUUACUUUAAUACUUUUUAAGUUAUUUUUAAAUUUUAAGUUUUUAAUAUUAAAUUAUUUUAUCAAAUAUGUUUAAUUUACUUAUUAACAUAAAUUAAACUACUAAGUCAUUAAGUUGAUCUACUAAAUAUACUCGAAACUCAUAUAUUUUUACAAUUAAGGUAGAUUUUGGGUCAUGUGUAAAUAGAGGUGUCUAAACGGCCCAUUAUUAACCAGGACAUUACGGGCCAACGUGUCAAGCUAGCACUGACCACUUAAAAAUUGUGUCGGGCUAGGUUGGCCCAUGCAAGGAAAGAGGUGGCCCGACACGACCCAUAGGUUUGCGGGCUAAUUGCAUCGGGCUGGGCUGGGUCGGUGACGUGUUCUAAUCAAGAUUUCGUAUAUUCGUCUCAACAUUCAACAGCUGCUUCAAUGUACAAACGACAUUUUCUUUGUUCACUUUCGAUCGAAAAACCAGAGGCUUCUCAGGCUCAUCUGUCUUCUUUACUUCUUUGUCCUCACGAGUCUGAUCAUAUCUCUCUAGACUCGCGACAACACUAUGCAAUUCCUUCAAAAUCAGCAUGCUUCUCCCGCUCCCACCAGACACAUUCUUAGUGCUCUACUUAGUCUUUUCGUCGGAGGCUUUUGUUGGAGAAUCAAGAGGUUUCUCCGACGUUUUGGUAACAUUAGGAUAUGAAUAAUUCUCUAUUUCCUCCAUUUGAGGAAGAUUAUCGAGGUCUACAUGUUCGAGGUCUAGCUCUUUGAGUAAGCACUUCACCAUCGGAAGAAGAUUCAACUUCUUGGCAUCCAAAGUCAAAGUUGAAUCAGAUGAGGUCAGUUUUUUCUCAGGUAUGACAUGCUCUUUUUCCAGUUUUUCCUCCGACGAGACAUGUCUUUCUUUGACAGGCCGACACGACGGGCCGCGUGGGCUGUUUCUUUAGGCCCUGCACGACCCGCUCCUUUUGGGCCGUCUUGGCCCAGCCUGCUACAGUGUCGUGCCAUGCCAUGGGCCAAAAUGGAUGGUUCGGCCCAAUGAACACCUCUAGGUGUAAAGCCUUUAUAAGAAGUAAUAUUUUUUUAAUUUUCAUAUUAUUUUUUUUAAGUUAUAAUAAGAAAUUAUUUUUUUUAUAACAAUAAUGAAGUCUUUAGAAAGAAUAUAUAAUAAAGGAAAAUUAUAAAUAUAAAAUUCCAUGUAAGAAAUUAAUUAUUUUAUUAUUAAAAAUACAAAACAACACAAAAACACCUUUUUACAAAAACACUUUUACCAAACAACAUGUUCAACCCCCACCAAGAAAGGAAAAAUAAAAGAGAGCUCAAAAGAAAAACUUGGGUCGCAGAGAAUAAACGCUAGGAAGUGCGUUUCAUAAAAGCAUAUUUCUGUCUCUUUUUCCCUUUUGUGAAAUCGAAAACAGCGGAAAAGAAAGAAAAAAAUUGGUAAUGGGGUGUGAGGGGGUACAGACAAACGUGCCGCCUUUUUUUGACUUAUGGAGAGCAGGUAACAGGCUUUUCUUUUUUCUUUUUUUCUUUUUUAUUUUUAAUUGAUUUUUCUUUUAUGUACUUUCCAGGAAAAUCAUUCGGGACACCAAAGCUUUCUUUGUGGAAUUUAAAAGAAAUGGAUAUGGGAUUCUUUUGCCUUUUCACCUACACUAGGAAGAAGCCUCCAAAAUUCAUUUAUUUUUCUUGCUCCAACAUACCAUAAUUGCCUUUUGCUUCAUGGACAAGUUUGUAGGUUGACCAUUGUACACUAUGUAUAUAUUAUGCCUCCAAUAAUUAGAACUGGCCAAGAAGAAAAUUAAAAAAUGAUGUAGGAUUUAUUAUCUUGAUCAAGGUUUCACAUGGUGGAUUUGUUUUAAUUAUUUGAUUCGUUGCUCUUAAAUUUUAAAAUUUUUGCGACUUUGACCUUGGUGAUGGAAAUUCACAUUUGUUUAAAUAUCUAUUGGCAACUUGCUUUGAAAAUUCCAAGUAUUGAAAGUGAUUUUAAAGUUAAUAUUGAUAUUGUAAUAAAAUUAAAAGUGCUUUUAAGAAUUAUUAUAAGAAAUGUUUUUAAUAUUUUUAAUACUUGAAUGAGGAAAAUUUUUAAGUGUUAUAAAUAUUAAAAACACUUCUUAAAAUCAUUAUCAAACACACUUUAAUUAAGAUUUUAAUGAGAAAUAAUGGUCUAAUUUAAAAUAAUAUCACGAAUGUUUAAUAUUUUUUAGAAGUGGAUCGAUUGACCAAUCAUAUUACUUAUGUUGUUCGCGCUAUCAAUGAUGAAUGAAUAUAUUUAAAUUUAUUCGUAAAGAUGUAAAAGGGUUUUAAUAAAUAAAGUUUGUAGCUUUUAAAAUCUGUUUGAUAGUAUUUUGAAAAAAUGUUUUUAACUUAAAAAAAAUGUUUUUAAAAAAACUGGUAUUUAUUAAUAAUAUUUAGGAAAUACUUAAAAAAAUGAAAAAAUCACCUAUAAUGACAAACACUCAUGAUUAUCUUAAAAACAUUUUUUUUAAAAACCACUUACUAAAAACAUUUCAAAUAGAAAUAUCGCCAAACCUGUUUUCAUUCUAUUUAUUUCAUGGACUAUAAUUUUUAUUCAAAACCGAAAAUAUUAAGUAAGUCUAAAAAGGAAAAUCAAAUAUUAAGAAAAAUCAACUAAUCUCUUUGUUAUUAAAUUUGUUAACUGUUUUUGAAAUUUUAAGAUUAUGGUGUUUGAGUUAUUACAUGUUGUAGCAAAUUAUAUUAUCAAACUUUCAAUUAAAGGUAUUUUCACUCAAUCAAUUGAGCAAUUUUGGUAUCAAUCUUGGAUUAAGAUCAAAUUUAACCACAAUCGUGGAUCGAUAUAACUUCAACAAGCAAGUAUAUACACAUGUGAGCAUCACUACGCCUACACUAUGUCAUUGUUGUGGGUGGCCUAAGAAGGUGUGCUUCACCACGCCGACACUAGGUCAUUGUUGCGGGUGGCCUAAAAGGGUGUUCUCACUAUUAGUUGAAUUUGGAAUUGAUUUUUGUCUCGAAGUUUAGUUCAAAUAUCACUAGCAAAUAACUUUACGUGCAAGUCGAAAAUCAUUAUUAAUGUAUUGUUUUUAUAUUAUCCUAGACUUUAUAAUUAUUCCUAAAUAAUUAAAAGUAAUAGAGGAAUAUUCUUAUGAAAACUUACAAAUUCAUAUUUGCAGACUUUGAUGAAAGUUGAUUUUAAAUCAUCAUCUAAAAAUGAUAAUAUAAAAAUUUAUGAAAAAAUUUAUAGGCUUUGCCUAAACUUAAUUCCAAAUUACUACGAUUACAAUGAAUCAUAAAAAAUGAUAUUAUGGACAUCGUCAAAACUCUAAUUUAUGAAAGAAUCUCUAUUAUAAAAAAAUCACAUAUUAAUAUCUAUUCAUAUAUAAAAUAAUAUCAAAUUUUGUGAAUCUAGCUUCUCUGCAUGAUAAAUACCGCCAAAGUCUAAUGCUGCGGAGAAAAUUAAGUGAAAUACUCCAAAUACAAAGUAUGAAAAGGUGUCUAUAACUUCCCCAUCAGGACCUAUAACUUCCCUACCAAGACCUACCCCCAAUCUAGAGUAACUAGGUAGGGAAGUAAAAUUAAUCAUUUUUCAUACAUGGGCUUCUUUGGUACGAAAUGAGUCACUUCAAAUAAGUUUAUUGUUCUGACCCAAAAUACGAUUAACCCGACAUGGGCUACAUGAGCCCCAAAUAGUUUACCGAAUAAAUUGAUAAGUUGGGCAUUUUUGACCCAUCAAGUGUUUUUCCUUAAGAGCAACCAGUUUAUAACAUAGAUAUCUUUUAUAAUUUCAAGUAUUCACACGUAAGUUUUAAAAUAACUUAUUAUUUUUAUGAGAAAAAAAAUGAAAGCAUUUUUGUUAAAAUAGGGUUAAAAAAAUUGAUGAAGGGUUAUAUAUAUCUAAAAUUAGAUUUUCAAUAAUUAUUUUAAUCAAAUAAUCCUAAAUUAAUUCCUGACCACACAUGCAUAAAUUUAUUUUUAUCAAAAAUUCUUAUAUCAAUAUGUAUACUUUCUCUCUUUCCUUACUUGGUGUUUUCAUUUUAACCAAAUCUCCCCAGAUUUUAUUCCUUUUAUGCUUCCAUGGACCAUCAACAACCACUUGGACCCUCAAAAUAAUGUUCCAAUCAAAAUAAAAAUAUCGUACCAUGAUUAAAAGUCACAUAUUUAGAUUUCUAACACCGUGCUUAAUUUAGACGUAUGAAACUUAAGAAAAAUAAAAUUUAAAAAUUGUACCAUUGAGAAUAAAUGAAAAAAAUAAAUAAAUCAAGUAAGAUAAAAAAAUAAUUUAAUAAUUAAGGGUCUAAUCGGCAAUUGUUUUCAAAACAAUAUUCUUAAAAAUAGUUUUUGAUAAUAAUUUUUAAAAAUCAUUAUUUAAUUUUUAUAGAAUAAAAGUUGUUUGGAAAUCUAAAAUAUUUUUAAUAUUUUAAAAAAUAUUUUUUAUAUGUUUUAUUUUUUAAUCAUUUUAUAUGUUUGUAUAAUUAUUUAUUAAAAAUCAGAAAAUAAGUGAAAAUAAUAAAAAAUAAUUAAAAGAUAUUAUAUGAAAACAUUAUAUUUUAUAUUCUUAAUAAUAAAAAAUAAAAAAUAAUUUUUGAUUGCCAAAUAUAAUUUUUAUUUUUAAAAAUAAAAAAUUAUUUUAAAAAAUAAUCCCAAAUGGGUCAUAAGAUGCUACGUACAUACUUUUUUUAGUUUUUAGUUUUUAAAACAAAAAAAAAGUAAUAAUUAAGGUAUUUGAUAAAAAAAAUUCAAGGUAUUUCAAAAAUUUUGAUAACAAAAUUUAAGAAUAUAAGGGAAGUUCAUUUAUAGAGAAUUAUUAUAAUUUUAUAUAGAAAUUAUUAAUUUUCUAUUUUUUAAAAAUGUUAUUUAACUAAAUUUAAAUUCAUGAAUAUGGAUGAUAGUUAAAAGAAAAAUAAAAAGGGAAAGAUGAAAAAAAGGAAAGUAAAUCAAUACCUUUCAUAUUUGUACCAUUGCCAUCCAAUUUGAAUGUCCAUAAAUUUCCACCAAGAUUCUUAAAAAAAUUGUACCAUCUCAUAUAAGGAACAAAUGAAAUAAAUAAUAUUAAAUGAUAUUAAAUCAAGUAAAAAAAAAAAGAAGUAAAAUAAUAAUUUUCAUAGUGAAAUUUGAACAUUACCAUGUUUCUUUUUUCAUAAUUUUAAAUUAUAUAAAUAAAAAUUUAAUGAAAUUAGCCAAAACCAAACAAGUUCACUUUUUUAAUUUCAAUUACAUUUUGUAUUUUUAUUUAUUUUUUGGUGGGGGCAGAAUCGAUUUAGAAUAAAGAAAAGCCGCAUUUGGGGAAUUGGGAGUUAUAUCGGCAGCUUUAUGAAGGGCAAAAGAGUAAUUUUGGGAGCGAAGCGUAACAAUGCAGGUGGAAUAGCGCGGUGUGUGAAUGCAGCCCACAUCGUCUCAACUCCACCUCUCUUUCUCUCUCUUCUUUUCUUUGUUUCUCUCUGAUGAAAUCUAAAAAUCUUCGAUUUUGUGCUCUCUCGUCCUCGACUCUGCCAAAGCUAGGGUUUUGGGGUUUCGAUUCUAUGAUAUCGGCAGCGAAAUUGCCAUCGCUGCAGCCGCUAUCGCCGCCGCCGUUUCGUUAAUCUGCCGGCGGGGGCUUUGAUUCCCGCCCGCCCCUCAUGUCUCUCGUAGAAACCUCCUCCAUCGACUGCGUCCACCAACGCCUCGAUCGUCUUUCCUCGAAGCGAAAAUUGGACGAUUAUUCCUCCCCCGCCGAUGACGAUUUCUCUGAUUUAGUCUCCUUCAGAAUGAGAAAAUUCGAUCAAAACGCCUUCGUUUCUUGCAACUCUCCGCCGGACUCUCAUCUCGAGAGGCAUAGGGUUGUCGAUGCCCGAUCGUGUCCCAGUUCGUGCAGCGCCGAGUCGGCUCGGCCUGAUUCGCGGUUGCAGUUCUUCGUGAGGAUGAUCUCCGAGGGGAAUACUCUGGUGAUUCACGCGAAUUCGGAUGAUACCGUGGAGUCGCUGCACCACCGGAUUCAGUCGAUUACGGGGAUUCCGGUGAUGGAGCAGCGGCUGAUAUACAGAGGGAAGCAGCUGCAGUGGGAGCAGUCUUUGGCUGAAUGUUCGAUUCAAAACGACGCCGGGCUUCAACUUGUCGGUCGGAUGCGGAGUACGGAACAUCCGGCGGCAUGGCGAGUCGCUAGCGAGAUGGUGUCAACGAUUUGUCGGCUUUGUAGGGGGGAAACAUUCCGGCCGUUGAAGAACAUCAAAUCGCAGUUGUUGGAGUUCUUGAUGCUCACUCCAAAAGACGACACCGAGUCAGCGGCCGGUUAUCUUCAGGUUUUCAUGUCUUCGUCGGCCCCUUCAGCUUUGGUCAUGCUCUACAUGUCCCCGACUAAGAGUAACAAGGAGACUGCAGAUGAUACUAUUAGGCAAUUUCUUAACUCGAGUCGGAAUUUAUUACCAAAGUCUGUACAAAUACAAUGUGUUCCUAUAGUGUUAGAAUUUUGUAAGUUGCUUAGUAGAACUGAUCAUGAGGAUCCGUUGUAUUUGACAUGCCGAAGCACUCUUGGGUCGCUGGUGGAAAAUGUUGGGGUAGUGAGAGCUUCGAGGUAUUGUCAUAAUAGUAAGACAUUGAUUGUAGUUAAAGAGAUUUUACCAUUUGUUAGUGAGCUGGCUAGUAGCUUGUCAAAGUCAUUGAUAUCAAGCAUGGAAUCAGCAGGGAGCACAGGGAACUCACUAAAUGAUGGGCGCAAUUUGAUUGCAGGGCAUACAUUAGCAAAUGAUGUGCGUGAUUUUACUGCAUUCUUGCACCCGGUGCGAUCUGUGAUUAUGGAGCAAGUGAGUUUUCAUGGUCCUAUUUCAAUUCCACUUGGAGAACGUGGUAGUACUAAUCCCUGGUAUGGAGAAGAGAUUGAGUUUCUUCAUGGCAUUUUCAUCGAUUUGAUGACAAAAAUGGAUGGGUGUCUCCAUAAAAUGGAGCAAUGCUUGGCAGGGGAAGGUGGAGUUGAUCAUCAUACUGUAUGGCCCCAGUAUCUUGCCGUUCUGAAGGAAUUGAAUAGCAUUUCUAAAUUAUAUCAUGGUGCUGAGGAAGAGUUUUGGACAUUUAUGAGACGUAGGAAGAUUGCAGUGUGCUCUCUAAUGAUUAGAUAUGCAAAGAGAAGUGAUGACCAUAGUUGGCUUCUUGAGCACAAGGAUGUGACUGAUUUUGAAUCAAGGAGGCAUUUGGCAAUGAUGAUGUUCCCUGAAGUAAAGGAAGACUAUGAAGAACUACAUGAAAUGCUCAUUGACAGGUCACAAUUAUUGGCAGAGUCAUUCGAGUACAUUGCACGGGCAGAGCGUGAAUCUCUACAUGGUGGUCUGUUCAUGGAAUUCAAAAAUGAGGAAGCUACAGGACCUGGUGUGUUGAGAGAGUGGUUCUUCUUGGUAUGCCAAGAAAUUUUCAAUCCACAAAAUGCCCUUUUUGUAGCAUGCCCAAAUGAUCGCAGAAGGUUCUUUCCUAAUCCUGGUAAGCUUCCUCCAUCUCUCUAGACACGUUUUUCUUGAAACAUUUCUUUUGAUUGCUGUUUUCUCCAUGUAAAAUGUCUAAAAUUGGAAGUGUCUGUUAUCUUGAUUGAUAAAUGGAUUGUUGACUUUGUUAUAUUGUGAUGGAUGGUGCUAGUGUGUAACAUGGCUAUAGAUUCUGAGGUUUGUAUAUGCUUGUUCCAUUUAACCUACAACAAGGUUCUUCUUGACAAUUGGUGUUGGAGAUUAGUGACUUUGAGUGAAUCUCUUUGGAAACAAGUUAUCACUCUUAAAUUCAAGCAAGAAGGGAUCAAGGGGUGUGAGAUGGUUUUGGGAUGAGUGUGUGGAAGAUAUUCAGAAAUGAGUGGGACUCCCUUAAGGAUAGAGUUCAUUUCUCUAUUGGCAAUGGAAGAAGGAUCAAAUUUUGGAAAGAUAGAUGAAGUGGUAACUCAUCUUUGGAAUAAUCUUUCCUGUCUUUGUUCUCUUUAGCCUCAAACAUAGAUGCUUGGGUGGUGGAUAUGUGGGAGUAGCAUGGGGAAAGUGAUUGAUUAAGCCCUUGCUUUCCUAAGCAGUUUCAUGAUUGGAGCUUGAAGGAGUGACUUACUUUUUCCUAAAACUGCAAGUAGGAGAGAGGAGGAUGGCAGUUUAGAGUGGAAGGAUUCCAAGGGUGUCGAUUUCUCUAUCAAAGCUUUUAACUUUCACUAGUCCAACAAAGUAGUGAGUCUUUCCCCAUUAAUUGGGUAUGGAAUCUCCGGGUCCUUGUGAAGGUAGGGUUCUUUAUAUUUUUUUUUUUGCUUCGAAGCAUUGUGGGUUAGAAUUUUGACAAUUGAUCAACUUAAAAGAAGGGGAUGAAGUAUGCCGAACAGAUGUUACAUGUGUAAAAAGUAGGAGGAAACAACUAAUCAUGUGCUCUUCCACUGCCCUACAAUAAUUAUCUGUGACAACUGAUUUUCUCUUUGUUUGGUGUAGUUUGGGUGAUGCAUUCAAUAGUUAGAUGAACUUUGUUAAACUAGCAUGGUUCGUUUGUGGGUAAUAAACUGAAAAAGCUUGGAUACCUAUUCUAGACGCCAUGGAAGGAAAGAAACAAAAGGGUAUUUGAAGAUUUAGAGCAAACAUAAUAAAUGCUUAAACUUUCUUUUAUAAAUAUUUUUUGGAUAGAUUUUAUAUAGAUGAAUUUUCCGUGACCAUGAUAGACUUUGUAGAUUGGAUUAGUUAGAAAGGGUGAGGGAGUUUGUUUUUUGUUCCUUUCCUCUUCCUUCCAUUUGCCUGUUUUUGAGUGACAUUUAUAUGCUUUGUGUGUACUUUGCGAUGCAUGUGUUUAGGCACUUUUCUUACUCUUAUAUAUAUAUAUAUAUAUUUGAUAGAUAAAAAGGAAGAUAUAUUGGAAAGGACUGCCAAAAAAGCAGCCCAAGGUAUACAAAAAGUUUAUAGCUACCACUAGCCUCCACCACAAAAACACCAAGAUACAAAAUAAAAGGAAUACAACCAGCCCGCCCUCACCAAUGGCCCAACCAAUUUAGAAAGCUAAAAAGAGUUAAAGGAACAUCAUCUAAGUAUCCCUUCGCUUCCAACCAAAGAUAAAAAGCAAACGAACUUUUUAGCCUUUGGAUAGAGAGCUCUUCCUCCUCAAAGGCAAUUCUAUUUCUUGUCUUCCACACUAUCCAAAACAAACAUAAAGGUCCGACUUUCCACAAUUUCUUAUGCUUCUAGUCCUCAAAUAGCCCAUGUCACCCUAGAAGAGUUUCUCUAACUAACGUAGGUAACACCCAAGACACCCUAAAAUGGGCAGACAACAGCUCCCACAAGACUCUUGUCUUUAUACAAUGGACAAGGAGAUGGUCUAUGGAUUCUUCGUUAGCAUGAUAGAAAAAACAUCUAUUUGCCAAAGACCACCCCCCUUUUCUGGACUUGAUCCAAAGUUAAGGCUUUUCCCCAAGUCACCUCCCAAGCGAAGAAGCUAACUCUAGGAUGCACCCACGCCUUCCAUAUAUUGCUCCAAGGAAAAGAAAUCGAAGUCCCAGGUUCAAAGGCCAUAUAAAGCGACUUCAUAGUAAACUUCUCAUUCUUAGUCUUUGUUCAACACAUCCUAUCUUCCUCGUCUCUAUUCACCGUCAUCCCAUCUAAGCAAGAAAGAAACCUCUCCUCACUUUCCACUUCCCAAUCAUUGAGGGGUCUAGAGAAAGACGGGCUCCAACCCCUUCCCCAGGGAUAGAAAAAUCCCAAACAUCCUCCACCCAUGCAUCCUUAGAACAUGCUAAGGAAAAUAAAGAUGGAAAAGAGUCUCGCAACGGAUCAAUCCCACACCACUUGUCCUUCCAAAAUCUGACCCUUUGUCCAUUACCUACCUCGAAGGAGAUUUUACUACUCACAAGCCCCCACUACUUCCUUAUAGCUUUCCAAACACCUACACCAAACCCUUCCCUAAACUCCCUAGAACACCACCCCCUUCUUACUCUUAGAUUAUAUAUAUAUAUUUCCAUAUUACCUAUAAAAAAAACCUGCAACAUACAAGUAGGUUAUGUUUGAUUUUUAGAAUUUUGAGGGGUAGGAUUAGGGAAGGGGAAAAACAAAAGGAAAGGAAGGAAAAUGAAAUUCAAGUUGAAUCCCCAAACAAAUCUUCCUUCCUCAACUCAGACCCCAACUUUCCUUGCUUGUUUAAAGAGGAAAUUGGGAGCUUCAAAAUGUAUAAUUUCCCCCCUAUUUCAUUUGUAGUUCCUUUUGCUUCCUAUUUUCCAUCACAACCAAACAAGAGAAAUCGAUUUUCCUUCUAAGUGUUUGCCCUUUUCUCUUGUUGCUUUUGAGCUCUUAACGGAGCCAUAAGCUUGCUACAACAAUUCUGAAGGUGUAUUGAGAUAACCUUGCAAAAUAGAAGAAUAUGGUGGAAGCUUGCAUUGAAGGUCUUGGAUCAAAGCUAGCUUCCAAAGUAGGAAGUCUUUUAGGGCAUUGAAUAUGGACAAAAAUUGAAAAUCGUCAUCCUUUGAAGAUAGUGGUAUGGAUAAAUAGGGAAGUUUUUUUUUUUUUUAAUGAGCAAAAUGUAAAUAUUUUAAAAGAGGCUAGCAAACAGGUGCAUUAAAUUACACACAAUGUAUAGAAAGGCAUCAAAAGGUCAACAAAAAGAAAAAAGAAACAAAAAACAACCUUUUCCUGCUAGAGCUCAACUAAUCAACAUAGUCUAUCACUAACAUUGAGAACUCUCCUAUACACACUCUAACCCACUCCAAAAACUUAUAUAUAAGGGACAAUUUUAUUCCUUGAUCCUUUAAUUCAGUAUUUUGAAACGACCUUUUAUUUCUUUCUUUCCAUAUAUUUUAAAAUAAGCACAAAGAAGUAGCUCUCCAAGCUCUUUUUCGCUUUUUUCAAUGAAGGAACUAUGCAAACUCAAGAAAGCUCAUCUUUUUAAAGAGUGUCUCAUAAUAUACCAAACAAAAUAUAAAUCAAUUGACAUAAGAGUAUUGCUUUCAAGCAGUGAAGGAGAAUAUGAUCAAUUGUUUCUUCUCCUUUGCAUAUAUAAUAAACUGUUCAACAAUUUCCAUUUCCUUCUUUUGAGUCAAUCUAAUGACAAAAUCCUCACCUAAGCUGUUUCCAAUUCACAAAGAAGCCAAUUCAGAUUGUUCUUGCAGGAAAGACUCCUUUUCCCAUAGACAAAGAGGAGUAGGACUUAAUUGAGAAUUUACUUUUUUUAAUUUUUUUUAUUAGUAAAUGAGAUUUGUAUUAAAAACGCCAAAAAGGGCAGACCAAAGUACACACGAUGUAUACAAUGGCAACCAAAAAGCGCCAAAAAAAGGAAGAGAAAACAAAAAGAUAUCCCCUCCCUCAAACCGACCCCAACCAAUCAAUGAAAUCUACUAUAGGCAACCAUCUUUCACCUAUAAAUAGUUUGGUCCAAGUUAACAAGUUACACAAAAACAAGUAUUUCAGUCCUUGGAUUGAGAAAAAUCUUCUAUUUCUCUCUUUCCAAAUAGUCCAAAAGAGGCAUAAAUGAGCUGCCCUCCAAACCUUUUUCCGCUUUUUUUUCCAACAAAGGAACCAUGCCAGCCUAGCAGAGUCUCUCUAAUUGUAGACUACAUCACCUAAAAAACUCUAAAGAGAGAGAAUAAUAGCUCCCACAAUACCCUUACCUUGUCACAAUGUAAAAGGAUGUGGACAAUAGACUCCUCAUGAGACAAACAUAGGAAACAACGAUUGGCCAAAAACCACCCCCUCCUUUAAAGCUGGUCAAGAGUCAAAACUUUUCCCCAAGUCGUCUCCCAAGCAAAAAAGUACACCUUAGAAGGAACCCAUGCAUUCCACACAACACUAGAAGGGAAUUGCACUACCCUUCUUGUCUCUAGGCUAGCAUAACUGAUUUACCACACUUCUGUUUUAACCAAACCAUUCUAUCCUCCUCAUUCUUUUAAAGCGCUUACACCCAUAGUCUCCCAUGCCUCCACCCUAUCAAGCUCCUACUCAUGGUUCCUCUUGAAAAGCAGCCCUACC
RNAcentral lists this long non-coding RNA (46091 nucleotides) under Vitis vinifera (wine grape). RNAcentral's name for it is "long non-coding RNA (VVIN_LNC007234)". The record is from RNAcentral. Lineage: Eukaryota; Viridiplantae; Streptophyta; Magnoliopsida; Vitales; Vitaceae.